RNAcentral lists this long non-coding RNA (44655 nucleotides) under Vitis vinifera (wine grape). RNAcentral's name for it is "long non-coding RNA (VVIN_LNC001385)". Lineage: Eukaryota; Viridiplantae; Streptophyta; Magnoliopsida; Vitales; Vitaceae. The record is from RNAcentral.
AGACUUACAAAAUAACUUUUAACUUCUUAGAAAUUGAUUCAAACAACGCUUCAAUUGGGCUUAAUGAUGAAUUAAUUAAGCUUAUAUGACACAUUUAGGCAUCCUUUGUUAUAAAAGGAAAAGCUUCUGCUGAAGAAGCAUGUUCAUGGAACAAAUAUUUUGAGAGAUGAGCAUAAACGGAAAGGGAAAAUACAAGAGUUCUCCAACUUUAUUAGGUCAUGCUACACUUAUUUAUUUUAUUUUAUUUCAGCUUACUGGGGCACCAUUUCAAAUUACAAUAAACAUUACCAAAUAAGGCUGGGUGAAUAAACACCAACCCAAUGAGUCUAUCCGAUGGUAGGGACACUGAUUACGAUGCCGUUUUCGUCGACCCAAACACGGACCCUAGUGCAGUAAAAAUCUUGGGUAACGAUUGUUCCCUCUAACAAGAUGUCAACAGUAGUGAUAUGAGGAUUCUCCCUCUUAAUGGUUUCUGCAGCAACCUCUCCCUGAACUCCCACCAGCUCGGGCCAGGAACUCUUACCUGCAUAAGCUCAGAAAAUGAUUAGCAUAAGAGAUGCAGUGUUCCAACAGAAGCAAAUAUCAUAUGUUAAUGACAUGAACAAUAAUUCCUCAUUUACCUUCACAUUCAGAUGCCAUUCUUUUUCCUUCACACGACUAAUUAUGCCUGCUUCAACUUCUGAUUUAUUUGUGUUGUGAGAUGGGUAUUUAUAGAGUGUAUUUGGUAGCUUGUGGUUGGUCUUUAUUGACUUUCUUGCUUUUACGUUCAAACAUUGAUGUUCCUACGUGAAAUAAGUUUUUCGGAGACAGCCAAGUUAGCCAUGGCACAACGGCACGGUAGACAGACACGUCACAAGUUAUUGGUGCAACUGAGUGGUGGUAGCCUGCCAGGAUUUUUGAUAUGAACAAAUAACUUCAUUGAUUAUCGUAAAGCUUGAAGUUGAUUUUUUAUAUACGUAUUAAAUUACCCUUCAAAAGAAACCCUUUAUUUGACUUUUUAUAUACUAAAUAUAUUUGAAAAUAAGUUUUCAAACCCCAGGUUUUGAAACAUAUUUUUAAAAAUGCUACAUUUGUUAAAAAUCUCCUACCUGCCCUAACGGAAUUAUGGCCAAUCAGAUCAACAGCACUAAGGUCUGGAUAGAUUUUAGAGACAACUGCCUUUGACCCGUAAAACACGAACUUGAUAAUGGAUUUCAUCAGGGAUCGAAGCCAUUUUCUUUGACCAUUUCAGUGGCUGCUUAAUUGGUUUGGAGUAUGAAAACUUAAUAUAAAUUGCAAGGAUUGUUUAUACUCCAAGCAACCCUCUACCAUGGGAAGGUAGCUAGAUUUCUUUUCAAUCAUGAGAGGGUCAAAUUAAUUGGGCAAUAGAUUUGAAUGUACAAAUUGUAAGUAUCAAAUGAGUACUUACGUAACCAAAUAACAAGCUACCUUUUACACUAACAACCGUGAAAGUCAAUCUGCUUGCACCAUCUAAAUGUAUCUUGUCCUAGGCUUGGGUAACUACCAAGAAUUUGCAUGUACUGCACGGCAGCACUAGCCUAAAGCAAGGAGAAUGGGUAGGAGUUUGCUUUUCCCAAUUUGCUCCUGGCAACCUAUCUUUAUCUUAAUCUUACAUGGCUGUAAUCCUACCAGGAAAUGACUAGGUAAAAGAAAAGAAAACUGGCCUGCCAAAUGGCUGGCCUCAUUCUUCUACUCAGGAUAACUAAGCAUGAUUUAAUCCACACGCAUGGGUGAUGUGCGCCUGUACUCAAGACAACUCUUUCUAAAAGUAAAAAUAAUUAAUAUAUACUUAAGAAGAAGUCAUUAUUUUGUUCUUGUUUUCUAGUUUUUCACAAUAUUAUCCAGUACCUUAUUAAAACUUCAAGCUCCUAAGUUUUCCUCUGUGGAAAGCAGUUUAUAUGGAUUUUAAGUCACUGGUAUGCCAAUUGAAAAUCAAGGUAGCUGGAUGUUUCAUAAAGACAUAGAGCAACACUAGGUGGCUAUAGGAGAAGACAUAUCUAGAAAAGGUCUGCGACAAGCAACAACUUACAAUUUCAGCAAGAGCCACAAAUAUAUACAAUGUGAUUAACAUAAUGGAUCAGCUAACCACAUAUAUUUAAAUAUAAUAUGUCCAGUGUGGAACCAAAAAUUUUGAAAUCAAACAUUGCCAGGAUCACUUCGGAAAGCUGUGUGCUCGUGGAAACUUUUAGUACUUCAGAGAGAAUUUUCUAGGAAUGGAGAGAGUAUAUAUUUUGAAUAUAUAUUGUUACUUAGUACAUCUGAUCAGUAUAUACUUGCAAUUGGUCUUUUGCUUCAUUUAUAACAAGUUGUUCCUACCAAGAAAAGCAUUAACCUCCGAGUAAUAGAGGAUAUCAUGGUGCAUUUAUCGAGGGUAAAUUAAAGUUAUUUAAUGUUUUUAUUUAUAAAAUAGAUGGUUUAACUCAUUACUAACAUCUCAAUUAGCACAAUAUGUCGAGAGGUGGAAGAGUGUAUAUUUGUGUUGGAGUGCAUGUUCAUAAAAUAAUUGUCAAUCCUAGAUUAGACAGAGAUUGAAACUUUUUGCAAUUUAUAUGGUGCUUCACUUUCAUAACCUCUUGGGCUUAUAGGGAAGUUGAACCCAUGUGCCCACAAACCAUUCCUUGGGAUUUUGGGAUUAGUUGUCACUUAAUUAUUUUAGCCUUUUUUUUUGUUUGUCUUUGAACCUUUUUAGGAGAGUCCCAUUAGAACUAUGCUUACAAACACCACCCCCCCUUCCCCCUUGACCCCCAAUACACCAACCCCCCCUCCCCCCCUCCCCGGCUCUAGUGACUACUCCACUACUAUACUUGACCAUAACAUUCCUUGCAUAUUGCAAUCCAGUCCACCAUACCAGUCGAGUGUACCCCUAGUUGCUGCAAUGCUCUGCAAUUUUCACAAUUGCAAUCUUCUUGUAGUUGAGUCAUUCUUUUGGAGGAAUUUCCUAUUAUUAUAGUUGUACCAUACCUUGCCCAAGGAGUGAACCUUAGAUGAGGCUUUUGGUAGUGGAAUCCCAAAAGUAGGAUGCUCAUUCCCCUGCUGCACCUAAAUUGAUCUUCCAGGAGGGCAUAUCUACUUUAAGGAUUAUGGUUUGUCACACCUCAAUCAUUCUAAUCCAAUAAGUGCCUAAACUCUUCUUUUCCUUAAUUUGAUUUUUGGUCUUUUGGAUUGAAUUUAGUUCUAAUUUGUUUCAGCCCUCUAUUAUUUAGACACAAUAAUCUUAAAGUAUAUCUCAUUUCAUGAAAACUUUCCUAGUUCACACCUGUCCUAACACCUCAAAGAUUGGUCCCUUUGAUGAAUCUUCUUUAAGAAAUGACAAGAAAAGGUAUUUUCUACAAUUGUCAUUGUAAACCUAGGACAUAUUUCGACUAACCACAAAUCCAAGAAUAAUUUUGAAAAUUUGGCUACAUAGAAAACUGGAAAUAAACAAGUUAGGUAUGUCAUCCUUAGUACAUUUUUUAAUAAAUUGUUUGAUGUAUAUCAUCGGUAUAAGGUAGCUAAGGAUAUUUAGGAUAUCAUGAAUAAUAAAUAUGUUUUGGAAGAUGUAGGAACCCAUAAAUGUCAUAGAGAAUUUUAGGAAAUUCCAAAUGACAAGGAUAGAGAUGUAAAAUCUAAAAUCUAUGCUUACUACAUACUAAUUAAUGACUUAGCUAAUGAAGACAUAAAACUGUUUGAAUCUUUUGUGGUUGGGUAUUUGAUCGUAACUCUUUCAAAUUCUUGGAAAGAUUAUAAAAACAAUACGAGGCACAAAAGAAUGCAAAUGUCUUUAGAAGAUAUUAUAACCCAAUUCAAAUUGAAGAAAAAAAAAACAAGAAUGAGGACAACGUUAAGAAAGCUAAAGAACUAUCCUCAAAGGAUAAUUUGGUAGAAGAAUAAACCUAGAUUGAAAAAUAAUAGACCUAAAAAAAAGAAAAAACUCUAGGACCAAUUAAACCCAAUUGAGAAAACAAGGUCUAGACACAUAUGAGGAGAGCAUGGUCAUUAUUAUGAAGAACUAGGUGGUAGACUCUAGGGCUACUCUACACAUCUAUGGUAAUAAAAGUGCGUUCACUUCCUAUACUAUUAUAAAGGAAAGAGAGGAACAAGUGUUCAUGGGUGAUUCUAAACUAUCCCCGAAGUGUGGCAAAGAGCAAGUUCUCCUCAAGCUAACCUUGAGAAAAGUGUCCACCGUAAGUGAUGUCCUUCAUAUGCUAUAUAUUUGUUAGAACUUGCUAUCAAUAUCUCUACUCGGGAAGGCAAGAGUAAGGAUCUUGUUCGAUUUAGUUAAAAUCAUGUUAUCUAAGAAUAAUGGGAAGGUCUCUUCUUGUUGAAUGUUUCUAAAAUGAUUAAUAAUAAAAAGACAUCUUCUUUUGCUUACUUAGUUGUCUCUUGUGAUAUGUGACAUGAAAAAUUUGGACAUAUGAACUUUUCUUAUACAAAAAGAAUGGUUUAUGUAUGUUUAAUUUCUAAUUUGUUUGUAGAAGACCAUGAAAAAUGUGAAUCAUACGUGGAAUCUAAAACCACAAAGAAAUCUUGUAAAAACAUAGAAAGAGAACUAGAACUACUAAGUUUAUUUCAUGGUGACUUGAAAGAUCUAAAAAAUACAAUGACAAGAGGUGGUAAAAGAUUUUACAUAACUUUCCUAGGUGACUACUCGAGGUAUGCAAGGCUAUAUGUAUCUUUUAAGAAGUAAAUAUGAAGCAAGAGAUGCUUUAAUUAAAUACAAGAAUGAAGUAGAAAAUCAACUAAGAAAAUAAAGAGACUUAGACUUGGUAGGAGAAAAGACUCUGAGUCCUAAACAUUUAUGAGACUAUUCCUUAUUCCUAAAAAUAUAAUAGAAUAGCGAAAAGGAAAAAUAGGACCCUAGGGCAUGAUGAACACAAUGUUGGUAAGUUUAGGAGCAUCCUUGAACUUGUAUGGGAAGAUAUCCUUUACGUUAGUCACAUUCAAAAUAAAAUACCUUAUAAGAAAACUAGUAAAACACCCUAUGAGUUAUGGAAGGAUCAUGCGUCUAACAAAGUGUAUGUAACAGUGUGGGGGUGCCUAACAAAGGUAUUUUUUUUCCUGAACCUAACAAACAAAAAGUAGAUCUUAAAACCAUUAAUGUAGUGUUUAUCAUGGAUUGAAAUGUUGGAAUUUUUCGACGAAAUAUCGCUAAAAUAUCGAUUGUCGGAGCAGACCGACACGAUAUUCCCCAUUGAUAAUUGGUCGAAGGAUUUAUCGGUGAUUUUUUUGAAAUUUCAUUGAAAUAUCGGAAUUUAUUGGAAUUUUUGCCAAUAUUCCAUGAAAUAUUUGGUUAGACUAGAAAACCUCUACAACCUCCUAGAACUGUUGUCCCCUUCCCUCUGUAUUCUCUCUACACUCAUUUUAAAAGGACCUGUAAGAAAUAGAAAACAAAGACAAAAAAGCUAUGUAAUUUUCUAGAUUCUUUUAAUAGAUUUUCUUCCUCUCUAAACACAAAUCUCACUUGGUAUCAGAGCCUUUCCCUUCUUCUCCUCUAAAAUGGAAGGCAAACUUAGGAUGUCGAUGAACACUCAAGCAUGGAAAAUCUGCAGAAGACAAAUUUCUCUUCACCAUUUACAACUACAUUGAACACAUCUCUCUUAGUCAAGCUUGAUCGUGACAAUUACAUGUUAUGGAGGUCUCAAGUCUUGCUUGUAGUUGGAGGCCACAAAAUCAUUGGAUACUUGUUUGACACAAAUACCUAUCCACCAGUGCUUCUUGAUAUUCAAGAUACAUAUGGAAAUCUGAUCCAAAAUCUGAAUCCAACAUAUGAACAGUGGAAUAGAGAAGAUCAAUUGUUACUAAGCUGGUUACUCUCAUCUCUGCCAACAACGAUUCUUGGCCAAGUGAUUCGGUGCACAACUUUGCACGAACUCUAGACUGCUUUGUCACAUCUAUAUUCAUCAUGUUCUAAAGCAAAAUUGUUGCAAUUGAAAAUACAGUUACAAACCUUAAAGAAAGGUUCCUUAUUGAUAAGCGAUUACUUCGCGAAAAUGGAAAAUAUAGCCGAUCAGUGUAUGGUUGUUGGUUACUUCGUAAGUGAGGAAGAUCUUGUCUUUUUUAUACUUGCUAGACUUGGAUCUUAAUAUGAUCCAAUCGUAUGUAGCAUUACAACUUGUGGACCUACAGAUCAACUUUCUCUAAAGGAGGUUUAAGCGCUUUUAUUGAAUCAAGAAUGGAGACUUGAGAAAACACUACAAUGGAGCUUCAAUAUGCUUCAACAAAUUUUUUCAACAAGAAUAAUGGAAAUCGUGAUUGUGGAAGAGCAAAUGUUAAUAAUCAAGGAGGACAUGGUUAAAUUCGAAAUAAUUUUAGAUUUCUUGGCCCUGGAUGUAGUGCUGGAAACAACAAACCUAUUUGCCAGAUUUGUGGCUGAUAGAAUUCUAAGAACGAAUAUUCUAGAGAAAAGAUAGAUGAAAAGGUUAUUUUAGAAGACUGUCAAGAAAGUGUCUCAUCUUCAUAAAGAAGUAGACUCUCUCUAUUUCCUCUAUAUAUUUCUAUAGCUUAAGUAUUGUUACAAUCUGUUAAGCAUGAGUUGUCAAGACUACUUCAAAACUAAUUCUUAACUAAUCCUAACUAAUCUUCUCUAACAUCCCCCCUCAAACUCAGGGUAGAAAGAUUUUCUAUCCUAAGUUUGUGUCUGAAUUCAAUAAAUUGAGUCGAAAAAAUUGUCUUUGUGAAUACAUCUGCAAAUUGAUCAAUUGAAGGGACAUGGGGAACCUUUACCUCCUUUCGAAUGACCUUUUCACGUACAAAAUAGAGAUCAAGCUCUAUGUGCUUUGUUCUUACAUGAAGAACAGGAUUUGUAGAAAGCUUAACCGCGCUAAGGUUAUCACACCAAACCAGAAGAGGCUUAGCUAGUGGAAGUUGCAACUCACUCAACAAUGACCUUAAACAUGUGAUUUCAGCUACCAAACUUGCAAGACUUCGAUAUUCAGCUUUAGUACUAGACCUUGAAACAAUAUGUUGCUUCUUGGAUUGCCAAGAUAUCAAAUUUGGUCCUAAAAAUACACAAUGACAUGAGGUCGAACGUCUAUCAUCCAAAUCAGAUGCCUAGUUAGCAUCACAAAAUCCAACUAAAUCAAGGCUGGAUGAUUUCUUCAAAUGCAAACCAUGCUGCAAAGUGCCCUGUAAAUAUCUCAAGAUUCGUUUCACAGCCUUCCAAUGCUCCUAUGUAGGAUUCUGCAUAAAUUGACAUACUUUAUUCACACUAAAGGAGAGCCCAGGCCUUGUGAUGGUCACAUACUAAAGAGCCCCUAAUGUACUCCGAUAACCAUGUAAAUCUUCCAGAGGAUCACCAUCUCUAGUUCUCCAUUUUAGACCAUUGGGCAGGGGAGUUUUUGCAGGUUUACAAUGCACCAUUUUUGUCUUUUGGAGCAAGUCUCAAAUAUAUUUAGUUUGGGAUAAAUGUAAUCCAUUAUUGGUAUAAGAAACCUGUAUUACUAGGAAAUAAUGCACUUCCCCGAGGUCUUUCAAGGAAAAUUUUGAGUUCAAUUGAGCUAUUAGGGAAGUAAUUGCAGUUGUGUCACUACUAGUGACCAAAAUGUCAUCAACAUAAACAAAGACAUAUGUAAUAUGACUAGGAGUGAACCUUAAGAAUAGUGACUGAUCAGACUUGGUUGAUACAAACCCAAAACUCAGCAAUGCUCGAUGGAGUUUCUCAAACCAGGCUCGUGAGGCUUAUUUCAAGCCAUAUAAGGCCUUAUGAAGUCUACAAACCAAAUUAGGAUUUUGCUCAUCAAUAAACCCCUGUGGUUGUUGCAUGAACACUUCCUCUUGCAAAUAUCCAUUGAGGAAUGCAUUAUUUACAUCCAGUUGCUUGAUUGCCCAAUUCCUUGAGAGAGCAAUGGUGAAGAUAACUCUUAUUAUAGAAGGCUUAACAAAUGGACUAAAGGUCUCAGUAAAAUCAAAGCCAGCUUGUUGGUGAAAGCCUUUGGCGACCAAUCGUGAUUUAUACUUUUGAACAAUGCCAUCUGGAUUUUCUUUAGUUUUGUAAACCCAUUUGCAACCUAUAGCCUGUCUACUAGCUGGUAAAGGAACUAGUGACCAAGUGUUGUUCCUUUGUAAUGCAACAUACUUAGCCACCAUAGCCUUUUUCCACUCAUCUUGUUGAAGGACAGCUGUAACACUCGAAGGUUCUCUUACUGCAGCAAUAAAAUUUUUAGGGGUUUAACAAUUCCACUCUUUGCUCUAGUAAUCAUCAGAUGAGUAUUAUCAGCAUCCUUGGCAAUUCUCCUAGUCACACUUGUAACUGCAAUGGAAGAGACAACAUAUUGUACAAGAGUAAUGAUUGAAUUAGAAACAACUUGCUAAGGAGAAACAACAAAACUAAGAACUUGUGCAGGUGCUGGAGUAGUAUCAACACUAUUAGGUGCAUGUGGGUGAGUGGAAACAACAUUACCCAUUUCACUUAUUGACCUAGUUGAAGAAAUGGGAGAAGUAGGAGCUGGUAGCAUUAUUGGAGACAAUAUUGGAGGAGAGAUUAAAGGAGAAAAAUGAGAAGUAAAGGAGGAAACAGUAGAAGGUAAACAAGAUGAAACUUGAAUAGUUUUAGAAUAAGGAAAGGAGGUUUCAUUAAAAAUUACAUCACGACUAAUAUAUACUCGACCGUUAGAAGACAUACAUUUGUAACCCUUGUGAUUUAGACUAUAACCAAGAAAAGUGCAUUCUUCACUCCUAUAUUGAAGUUUAUGGGUGUUAUAAGGACAUAAGUUGGGAAAAUAGGAGCAACCAAAGACUUUGAGGAAAGAAUAGUUAGGUAUGGACUUGAAUAAGACUUCAAUGGGACAUUUGUGAUGAAGUACUGUAGUGGGAAGCCUAUUUGAUAGGUAAACAACAAUCCUAAAUUAUUCACCCCAAAAUUUAAGAAGAAGAGAAGCUGUAUAAAGGAGGGUUAAACCAUGUUCAACUAUGGUCCUAUCAUUCCAUUCAGCAACACCAUUUUGUUGUUGAGUGUGUGGAUAAGAAACACGGUCUACAAUGCCAUUUUCAGCAAGAUAAUAUUGAAAGACACGAAAUUCACUUCCCCAGUUUGUUUGCAAGGACUUGAUUUUUGAAUCAAAUUGCAAUUCCACUUGAGUUUUGAAGUUAACAAAGGUUUUGAUAGAUUUAGAUUUAUUUAUGAGUAAAAAUAUCCAAGAAAAUCGUGAAAAAGCAUCCACAAAGUGAAUAUAAUACCUAUAUCCACUAUUAGAUAAUACUAGGGUUGGAACCCAUAAAUUUGAAUGAAUUAACUCAAGGGGUUUGGUAUAAGUUGUAUGAGACAAAGAAAAAGGAAACCUAUGUAUUUUACCCAAGAAACAAGAAGAACAGAAAUUGGAGUCAAUUUUAUUUAAAUGGGCAACAUUACAUUUGGACGACAUUUUCAAUUGUUGCAGCUGAAGGAUGACCCAAUCUUCUAUGCCACAAAUCAAAGGUAGAUGGCAAAGAAGUUGUACAAACUUUAGAAGAAAAGGAACUAGCAACAACAGAAGGAGACUUCGAUAAGCUUUGAGUUGGUCUGAGAGAAAGAUGUGAGGAGUCAAAAGCAUACAAUCCAUCUCUAACUUUCCCAACCAUUAGAACAACUUGGGUUACCCGAUCCUUGACAAAAUAGGAAUUAGAUUGAAAUUCAAAAAAUACUUUAUUAUCCUUUGCAAAUUUGAAAACUGACAAGAGAUUUUUGGUAAUGGAAGGUACAUGAAGUAAGUGAUUAAGUAAAAGAGGUUUAGAUGAAAAAGGAGAUAAGAAUUUAGAUUGACCAAUAUGCUUAAUGGACAAACCUAUUCCAUUUCCAACAUGAACCUGAUUUUGCCCAGCAAACUCAACACUUUUCAUCAAAUUUGCAGGGUUAGGUGUCACAUGGUUUGAAGCUCCAGAGUCCGGAUACCAAUUGUCAUCACCACAGACUUCAAGAGUUGGGAUAACACCAUUUACUUGGAGUGAAAAACUGUAAUAAGCCUGAGGGGAAAGGUUCCUGCCUGAUAUAUUCUGUGGUACCUGGAAAGUAUGGUCAAACCUGUAAUAGCACUGUGCUACUACAUGACCUAUUUUACCACACAGUUGGCAUACUGGUUUCUCAUUCUGAUUAUCAGAGUUCCAAGGAGGUCUUGCUUGAAAACCACCUCUGUUUCCUCUACCACGAAAACCACCUCUAUUACUUCUUCCAUUGUCAUUCCAAUUGAAUCCACGACCACCAUUGAAGCCACCUCUACGACCAAAGUCUCCAUCUCGUCUAAAACCACCAUUGUAAUCUAAAUGAUUACCUUGGGAGUUAGCAGCAUAAUAAUUCUGCUUGAAACCAUUCCCUUUUUCUACAGUGUUAGAGAACAUGAGCAGAAGAAGAUGAGUCAAGAGAACCGUUGUUCUUCUCAACUUUGAAUUCAUGAGCCAUCAAGAUAGCUUCAAUUGAAAAAUCAUCAUUCCUCAAAGUGAUUGAGGUAAUGAAAGAUUCAUAAUCACUGGGUAAACCAUCAAGAAUUGAUUCAACAUGAUCUUUGGUUGACAAAGAAACACCAAUAGAUGCUAGUGAAUCAACACAAACCUUGAUCUUCACAAAGUAUUCAUCAAUUUUGAACCUCCCUUCUUGGUAUGCUGAAGUUGAGUCUUAAACUGUUUCACCUUGGCUCGAGUCUAAGACGCAAAAUAUUGCUCUAAUCGUCCCCAAAGAAGAAAGGAUGUAUCACAACCAACUAAACCGAAGAAGAAUCGACUCAAAAACAGAUGAGAGAAGCCAAGAGAGCAGUAGUUAAUCAUGUUGUACCCACUCAAGGAAUUCCUUAGUUGCUUUUCUAGAUAUCGCAUCUUCUCUGGUGAGAAAUUGAAUUGGUACUUCAUCGUCACUGAACAAAAAUUUCUAAAGCCCAUAGCCUCGAAUUGCGAAGACAUUUUUUGUUUCUAGAACAAGAAAUUCUUGUUAUCAAGCUUCACGGACAGUGAGUGAUUGAAGUUAAUUGGAACAAAACGAGUGGAAGACAAAGGAUUAGGGUUCACUAUUGCAAGACUAAUAUUGACCUCCAUUGAAGAAGACUCAUGCUCUGAUACCAUGAUAAAAUUCUAAGAACGAAUAUUCUAGAGAGAAGAUAGAUAAAAAUGUUAUUUUAGAAGACUAUCAAGAAAGUGUCUUCUCUUCAUAAAGAAGUAGACUCUCUCUAUUUCCUCUGUAUAUUUCUACAACUUAAGUAUUGUUACAAUAUGUUAAGCAUGAGCUAUCAAGACUAAUUCUUAACUAAUCCUAACUAAUUUUCUCUAAUAGUGGCAAACAAGGUCACAUAGCCUUCAUCUAUUGGCAUCGUUUAGAUGAAAGUUUUCAGCCUUUAGUGUUGCCAACUCAAAACACCUAUAACAGGACUCCACUUGUUGCUCUGGCUACACCGGAAACCAUUCUUAACCCUAGCUGGUAUGCUGAUAGUGGUGCCACAAAUCACGUGACUACUACACUUGAUAACACUACAAUGAAAAUAGAAUAUGGAGGCCAAGAGAAGCUUAUAGUUGGAAAUGGUAAGCAAAUUUCCAUUUCUCACAUAGGCCAAGCUUAUCUCCCAACACAUUUUCUUGUUUCUCUUCAUCUUGAAAAUGCCUUACAUGUUCCCCAAAUUAGAAACUUAAAUCAUUCAUAUAUCCACAGUAGUAUGCAACACAAUUAGAAACUCUUCCUAGAAUUACUAUCAUAUGGUUUUAAAAAGUGUUUUUUUGAAAACCUUUAUUUUAUUGCUGCUUGAAUUGAGCCCUGGGAAGCUACAACCAGAACUUUUAAACUCAACAAAAGAUUUUACUAAUUAUAUUCCUUAUAAUUACUAUAUAUUUGUAUAUUGUCCUCGUGUGCUACACGCACGGACACUUACUAGUUUAUUUAAAAGAGUAAAAAAGGGGUUUUGGAGAAUUAAGAAAAUUGGGAGGGCAGGUUUUGUUUUAGUUUGUCUUAGUUAAGGGACUUGGGGAUGCGGAGAAAGCCGGAAAUAAUUUGACCUUUUGAAAUGGAAAUUGUUAAAAUAAAUGAAUGAGAAAUUUAGGGGUGGCUAAAAAUUAUGUAGCAUAAGAGAGUUAUCACGCAUGAUACAAAUUUGAAUUUGAUGAAAGAUAAAAUUUUAGUUUUUAAAUAGAUAAAUGCCUAUGAAAGAUUGAGAAUAUAUGAUAAAAAUAGAGUAGUCAUUUUCUUAAUAGGAGUAUAUUAAUGAAAAUAGGGAGUAUUUUUCUCACUUUUAGGUUGACGCGAAGAAAAAUAAGAUAAAUUAGAGUGUUUCAUAUGUAGAAAGUCAUUAGAAAGUUGUUGCAUUGGCUUUAUUAAUUAUUAGGUGGUGUUUGUUUUUUUGGUUAAAUAGAAAAAACCAAAAUAUUUGACUUUUUCUAUUAAGUUAAAAGUAACUUAUUGACAUCUUCCAAUAUAAUUAAAGUAAAUUUGUUAUCAAUAUAUUCAGUUUAGUUAUAUUGAACGAUAUUCACAGGUUACUUUUAGCUGAAUAGAAAAAACCAAAUAUUUUGACUUUUUUUAUUCAGCAAAAAAAUAAACACCACCUUAAUGUUGCUUUCCAUGUCGGUAGGCCAUGUGUUCUUAUCUACAUAGGGACAAAAAUUUAGUGUUGGAGGGAACAAUUCCUUAUAGACAACAUAAAUCUUAUUGGUUCUAAAACUCAUUCUCACUCAUACAUUCCUUCAAUGAUAUAUCUUAUUAGUUUGUCUUCUGAUUGUGGUACCCCUUAUUCACUUUUCCAAACACCUCUUUAUAUUUUGGGUAUUAGCUAAAUUAUAGUUUUCAUAAAGAAAUAAUAUUUUCCUAAUUUUAGUAUUAAGCUCUUUUUUUAAAUUAUGAGCGCUAUGAACAAAAUUAAUUGAACGCGAAAAAACCAUUUAUGAGACUUACAAAAUAACUUUUAACUUCUUAGAAAUUGAUUCAAACAGCGCUUCAAUCAAGCUUAAUGAUGAAUUAAUUAAGCUUAUAUGACACAUUUACGCAUCCUUUGUUAUAAAAGGAAAGGCUUCUGCUGAAGAAGCAUGUUCAUGGAACAAAUAUUUUGAGAGAUGAGCAUAAAUGGAAAGGGAAAAUACAAGAGUUCUCCAACUUUAUUAGGUCAUGCUACACUUAUUUAUUUUAUUUUAUUUCAGCUUACUGGGGCACCAUUUCAAAUUACAAUAAACAUUGCCAAAUAAGGCUGGGUGAAUAAACACCAACCCAAUGAGUCUAUCCGAUGGUAGGGACACUGAUUACGAUGCCGUUUUCGUCGACCCAAACACGGACCCUAGUGCAGUAAAAAUCUUUGGUAACGCUUGUUCCCUCUAACACGAUGUCAACAGUAGUGAUAUGAGGAUUCUCCCUCUUAAUGGUUUCUGCAGCAACCUCUCCCUGAACUCCCACCAGCUCGGGCCAGGAACUCUUACCUGCAUAAGCUCAGAAAAUGAUUAGCAUAAGAGAUGCGGUGUUCCAACAGAAGCAAAUAUCAUAUGUUAAUGACAUGAACAAUAAUUCCUCAUUUACCUUCACAUUCAGAUGCCAUUCUUUUUCCUUCACACGACUAAUUAUGCUUGCUUCAACUUCUGAUUUAUUUGUGUUGUGAGAUGGGUAUUUAUAGAGUGUAUUUGGUAGCUUGUGGUUGGCCUUUAUUGACUUUCUUGCUUUUACGUUCAAACAUUGAUGUUCCUACGUGAAAUAAGUUUUUCGGAGACAGCCAAGUUAGCCAUGGCACAACGGCACGGUAGACAGACACGUCACAAGUUAUUGGUGCAACUGAGUGGUGGUAGCCUGCCAGGAUUUUUGAUAUGUACAAAUAACUUCAUUGAUUAUCGUAAAGCUUGAAGUUGAUUUUUUUAUAUACGUAUUAAAUUACCCUUCAAAAGAAAACCCUUUAUUUGACUUUUUAUAUACUAAAUAUAUUUGAAAAUAAGUUUUCAACCCCCAUGUUUUGAAACAUAUUUUUAAAAAUGCUACAUUUGUUAAAAAUCUCCUACCUGCCCUAACGGAAUUAUGGCCAAUCAGAUCAACAGCACUAAGGUCAUUGGAUAGAUUUUAGAGACAACUGCCUUUGACCCGUAAAACACGAACUUGAUAAUGGAUUUCAUCAGGGAUCGAAGCCAUUUUCUUUGACCAUUUCAGUGGCUGCUUAAUUGGUUUGGAGUAAGGAUUGUUUAUACUCCAAGCAACCCUCUACCAUGGGAAGGUAGCUAGAUUUCUUUUCAAUCAUGAGAAGGUCAAAUUAAUUGGGCAAUAGAUUUGAAUGUACAAAUUGUAAGUAUCAAAUGAGUACUUACGUAACCGAAUAACAAGCUACCUUUUACACUAACAACCGUGAAAGUCAAUCUGCUUGCACCAUCUAAAUGUAUCUUGUCCAAGGCUUGGGUAACUACCAAGAAUUUGCAUGUACUGCACGGCAGCACUAGCCUAAAGCAAGGAGAAUGGGUAGGAGUUUGCUUUUCCCAAUUUGCUCCUGGCAACCUAUCUUUAUCUUAAUCUUACGUAGCUGUAAUCCUACCCGGAAAUGACUAGGUAAAGAAAAGAAAACUGGCCUGCCAAAUGGCUGGCCUCAUUCUUCUACUCAGGAUAACUAGGCAUGAUUUUAUCCACACGCAUGGGUGAUGUGGCCUGCAUUCAAGACAACUCUUUCUAAAAGUAAAAAUAAUUAAUAUAUACUUAAGAAGAAGUCAUUAUUUUGUUCCUGUUUUCUAGUUUUUCACAAUAUUAUCCAAUACCUUAUUAAAACUUCAAGCUCCUAAGUUUUCCUCUGUGGAAAGCAGUUUAUAUGGAUUUUAAGUCACUGGUGUGCCAAUUGAAAAUCAAGGUAGCUGGAUGUUUCAUAAAGACAUAGAGCAACACUAGGUGGCUAUAGGAGAAGACAUAUCUAGAAAAGGUCUACGAUAAGCAGCAACUUACAAUUUCAGCAAGAGCCACAAAUAUAUACAAUGUGAUUAACAUAAUGGAUCAGCUAACCACAUAUAUUUAAAUAUAAUAUGUUCAGUGUGGAACCAAAAAUUUUGAAAUCAAACAUUGCCAGGAUCACUUCGGAAAGCUAUGUGUGCUUGUGGAAACUUUUAGUACUUCAGAGAGAAUUUUCUAGGAAUGGAGAGAGUAUAUAUUUUGAAUAUAUAUUGUUACUUAGUACAUCUGAGUAUAUACUUGCAAUUGGUCGUUUGCUUCAUUUAUAACAAGUUGUUCCUACCAAGAAAAGCAUUAACCUCCGAGUAAUAGAGGAUAUCAUAGUGCAUUUAUCGAGGGUAAAUUAAAGUUAUUUCAUGUUUUUAUUUAUUAAAAUAGAUGGUUUAACUCAUUGCUAACAUCUCAAUUAGCACAAUAUGUCGAGAGGUGGAAGAGUGUAUAUGUGUGUUGGAGUGCAUGUUCAUAAAAUAAUUGUCAAUCCUAGAUUAGACACAGAUUGAAACUUUUUGCAAUUUAUAUGGUGUUUCACUUUCAUAACCUCUUGGGCUUAUAGGGAAGUUGAACCCAUGCGCCCACAAACCAUUCCUUGGGAUUUUGGGAUUAGUUGUGUCACUUAAUUAUUUUUAUUAAUUAAUUUAGCCUUUUUUUUUGUUUGUCUUAAUACCUUUUUAGGAGAGUCCCAUUAGAACUAUGCUUACAAACACCACCCUCCUUCCCCUUGACCCCCAAUACACCAACCCCCCCUCCCCGGCUCUUCUGCAAUUUCCACAAUUGCAAUCUUCUUGUAGUUGAGUCAUUCUUUUGGAGGAAUUUCCUAUUAUUAUAGUUGUACCAUACCUUGCCCAAGGAGUGCACCUUAGAUGAGGCUUUUGGUAGUGGAAUCCCAAAAGUAGGAUGUUCAUUCCCCUGCUGCACCUAAAUUGAUCUUCCAGGAGGGCAUAUCUACUUUAAGGAUUAUGCUUUGUCACACCUCAAUCAUUCUAAUCCAAUAAGUGCCUAAACUCUUCUUUUCCUUAAUUUGAUUGUUGGUCUUUUGGAUUGAAUUUAGUUCUAAUUUGUUUCAGCCCUCUAUUAUUUAGACACAAUAAUCUUAAAGUAUAUCUCAUUUCACGAAAACUUUCCUAGUUCACAUCUAUCCUAACACCUCUAAGAUUGGUCCCUUUGAUGAAUCUUCUUUAAGAAAUGACAGGAAAAGGUCUUUUUUACAAUUGUCAUUGUAAACUUAGGGCAUAUUUCGACUAACCUAAAAUCCAAGAAUAAUUUUGAAAAUUUGGCUACAUAGAAAACUGGAAAUAAACAAGUUAGGUAUGUCAUCCUUAGUACACUUUCUAAUAAAUUGUUUGAUGUAUAUCAUCAGUAUAAGGUAGCUAAGGAUAUUUAGGAUAUCAUGAAUAAUAAAUAUGUUUUGGAAGAUGGAGGGACCCAUAAAUAUGUCAUAGAGAAUUUUAGGAAAUUCCAAAUGACAAGGAUAGAGAUGUAUAUCUAAAAUCUAUGAUUACUACAUGCUAAUUAAUGACUUAGCUAAUGAAGACAUAAAACUGUUUGAAUCUUUUGUGGUUGGGUAUUUGAUUGUAACUCUUUCAAAUUCCUGGAAAGAUUAUAAAAACAAUAUGAGGAAUAAAAGAAUGCAAAUGUGUUUAGAAGAUAUUAUAACCCAAUUCAAAUUGAAGAAAAAAAAACAAGAAUAAGGACAAUGUUAAGAAAGCUAAAGAACUAUCCUCAAAGGCUAAUUUGGUAGAAGAAUAAACCUAGACUGAAAAAUAAUAGACCUAAAAAACAAAACUCUAGGACCAAUUAAGCCCAAUUGAGAAAACAAGGUCUAGACACAUAUGAGGUGAGCAUGGUCAUUAUUAUGAAGAACUAGGUGGUAGACUCUGGGGCUACUCUACACAUCUAUGGUAAUAAAAGUGUGUUCUUCCUAUACUAUUAUAAAGGAAAGAGAGGAACAAGUGUUCAUGGGUGAUUCUAAACUAUCCCCGAAGUGUGGCAAAGAGAAAGUUCUCCUCAAGCUAACCUUGAGAAAAGUGUCCACCGUAAGUGAUGUCCUUCAUAUGCUAUAUAUUCAUUAGAACUUGCUAUCAAUAUCUCUACUCGGGAAGACAGGAGUAAGGAUUUUGUUCGAUUUAGAUAAAAUCAUGUUAGCUAAGAAUAAUGGCAAGGUCUCUUCUUGUUGAAUGUUUCUAAAAUAAUUAAUAAUAAAAAUACAUCUUCUUUUGCUUACUUAGUUGUCUCUUGUGAUACGUGACAUGAAAAAUUUGGACAUCUGAACUUUUCUUAUAUAAAAAGAAUGGUUUAUUUAUGUUUAAUUUCUAAUUUGUUUGUAGAAAACCAUGAAAAAUGUGAAUCAUACGUGGAAUCUAAAACCACAAAGAAAUCUUGUAAAAACUAUAGAAAGAGAUCUAGAACUACUAAAUUUAUUUCAUGGUGACUUAAAAGAUCUAAAAAAUACAAUGACAAGAAGUGGUAAAAGAUUUUACAUAACUUUCCUAGGUGACUACUUGAGGAAUGCAAGGCUAUAUGUAUCUUUUAAGAAGUAAACAUGAAGCAAGAAAUUCUUUCAUUAAAUACAAGAAUGAAGUAGAAAAUCAACUAAGAAAAUAAAGGGACUUAGAUUUGGUAGGAGAAAAAAGUAUGAGUCCUAAACAUUUAUGAGACUAUUCCUUAUUCCUAAAAAUAUAAUAGAAUAGCAAAAAGGAAAAAUAGGACCCUAAAGGGCAUGAUGAACACAAUGUUGGUAAGUUUAGGAGCAUCCUUGAACUUGUAUGGGAAGAUAUCCUUUACGUUAGUCACAUUCAAAAUAGAAUACCUUAUAAGAAAACUAGUAAAACGCCCUAUGAGUUAUGGAAGGAUCAUGCGUCUAACAAAGCGUAUGUGAAAGUGUAGGGGUGCCUGACAAAGGUAUUUUUUUCCUAAACCCAAUAAACAAAAAGUAGAUCCUAAAACCAUUAAUGUAGUGUUUAUCAUGGAUUGAAAUGUUUGAAUUUUUUGACGAAAUAUCGCUAAAAUAUCGGUUGUCGGAGCAAACCAACAUGAUAUUCCCCAUCGAUAAUCGGUCGAAGGAUUUAUUGGUGAUUUUUUUGAAAUUUCAUUGAACUAUCGGAAUUUAUUGGCAUUUUUGCCAAUAUAUUAAGAAAUUUCCCGAUAUUAUCGUUCGUGUAGCCUUCUGCCAAGUGUAGCAUGCUGCCCGCCGCCUCAAACUUUUUUGAAAUUGUUACGUCGUUGCUUUUGAAAUUGUUCGUUGCUUUUGAAAUUGUUAUGUUGUUGCUUGGGGAUUCGAACCCAGACCAAAAAGCUUGAGUUCAAGGCUAGUUACCAUUGAACAAUGCUUCCACUUAUUAACAUACAUAUGUUGAUAAUAAAUUUUGUAAAUUUCAUUAUUAAUUUUUUUUUAAUUAUUUUACUUUAAGUUUUAUUUAAUUAAUUAAUAAAUGUAUAAAAAUCAUUAUUAAAAUUUUCUUAAUAAUAUUUUUUAAUAUCAUUUAUAUAUUAAAAAAUUAUAUAUGAAUCAUCAUUUAUUUUACAUUAUUGAUUGCAUUUGAAUUAAAUAAAUUAUAGUUUUAAUAUUAAAUGUAUCAUCAUUUAUCUCAUUAAUCAUAUUUUAAAAUAUUACUAUCACUUUACUUUUAAAUGUUGUAUAUUUAUCCUUUUAAUUUUAUUUAAUUUUGAAUAUUUUUAUUUUAAAAUAUUAAAAAUAUAAAUUUAUUCAAAAAUACUAAAAUAUAAAAAAAAUAAUGAAAUUAUAAUAUUUUAUAAAUUAAAAUUAUUUUGAUUAGAUAAAUAAUAAAUUAUUAAGAUCGAUUUAUCCUUACCGAUGUUUUUCUCUUUGACCAUAUCUAUGUCAAUUACACUUUAAAAAUAACUUUAACAUGUAUAUUUUUAUUUAUUUAAUCAUUUUUUAGAGUUUUUCAAAAUAUUCCAUGAAAUUUGAAUAAUUUUCUCCUUAUCGAUAUUUUUGUAAAAAUAUCUACUGAUAUUUCUUCGAUAUUUAUGAUAUAUCCAUAAAAUUCAAGUACCAAUAUAUUUGUGUUUAUUGAUAUUUCAAACCAUGGUGUUUAUAGGAUAUGCUAAGAAUAAUUCAACAUAUAGGUUUUUGGUUAUGAAAUAAAAAAAACUACCUCAUAAAAGUGAAUACCAUAAUGAAAACAAAGAAUGCUGAUUUCUUUGAAACAUAUCUUUCUUAUGAAACCUAAUGGUGAGCAAUAAAUUUAGAGAAUAAUUAGAGACAAGUCUAAUAACCUUUUAAAAUUGAUCCAAGUAGAAGUUAAAGAGAUAAGAAAGAAACAACUUUGGAGAUGACUUCUACACCUUCCUAAUAGAUGGGGACCCAAAGAUCUACAAUGAAGUUGUAAUUUUUCCUAGAAAGAUGCCAUUAAUAGUGAAAUAUAAUUGAUCAUAUAUAACCAUACAUGAGAGAUAGUUGAUUUACCUCCUAGUGCAAGAACUAUAGGGUGUAACUGGAUCUUUAAAAUGAAGUUAAAACAUGAUGAAUCAAAAGAUGAGUACAAGGCAAGUUUACUUACUAUGAAGACAAAAAUGGUAGCUGCCACGUCAUGUCUCUCUUAACCAAGUUUGUUAUAACUUGUAACAAAUUUGGUUAAAUUAGAAAAUCUCUAGAACCUCUUGGAACUGUUGUUCCAUUCUCUCUGUAUUUUCUCUACACUCAUUUUAAAAGGACUUAUAAGAAACAGAAAACAGAGACAAGAGAGCUAUGUAAUUUUCUGGAUUCUUUCAAUAGAUUUUCUUCCUCUCUAAACACAAAUCUCACUUGGUAUUAAAGUCUUUCCCUCAUUCUCCUCUAAAAUGGAAGGCAAACUUAGGACACCGAUGAACUCUGUCUCAACAAUCUCAAGCAUGGAAAAUCUGCAGAAGACAAAUUUCUCUUCACCAUUUACAACUACAUUGAACACAUCUCUCUUAGUCAAGCUUGAUCAUGACAAUUAUCUACUAUGGAGGUCUCAAGUCUUGCUUGUAGUUGGAGGCCACAAAAUCAUUGGAUACUUGUUUGACACAAAUACCUGUCCACCAGUGCUUCUUGAUAUUCAAGAUACAUAUGGAAAUCUGAUCCAAAAUCUAAAUCCAACAUAUGAACAAUGGAAUAGAAAGGAUCAAUUGUUACUAAGCUGGUUACUCUCAUAUUUGCCAACAACGAUUCUUAGCCAAGUGAUUCGGUGCACAACUUUGAACGAACUCUGGACUGCUUUGGAACAUCUAUAUUCAUCACGUUCUAAAGCAAAAUUAUUGCAAUUGAAAAUAUAGUUACAAACCUUAAAGAAAGGUUCCUUAUCGAUAAGCGAUUACUUUGCAAAAAUGGAAAAUAUAGCUGAUCAGUGUAUGGUUGUUGGUUACCUUGUAAGUGAGGAAGAUCUUUUCUUUUUUAUACUUGCUAGACUUGGAUCUUAAUAUGAUCCAAUCGUAUGUAUCAUUACAACUCGUAGACUUAUAGAUCAACUUUCUUUGAAGGAGGUUUAUGCGCUUCUAUUGAAUCAAGAAUGGAGACUUGAGUAGACACUACAAUGGAGCUUCAAUAUGUUUCAACAAAUUUUGUCAACAAGAAUAAUGGAAAUCAUGAUCGUGGAAGAGGAAAUUUUAAUACUCAAGGAGGAUGCAGUCAAAUUCGAAAUAAUUUUAGUUUUCCUGGCCCUGGAUGUAGUGCUGGAAACAACAAACCUAUUUGCUAGAUUUGUGGUUGAUAGAAUUCUAAGAACGAAUAUUCUAGAGAGAAGAUAGAUGAAAAUGUUAUUUUAAAAGACAGUUAAGAAAGUGUCUCAUCUUCAUAAAGAAGUAGACUCUCUUUAUUUCCUCUAUAUAUUACUAUAACUUAAGUAUUGUUACAAUCUGUUAAGCAUGAGUUGUCAAGACUAAUUCAAAAUUAAUUCUUAACUAAUCCUAACUAAUCUUCUCUAACAUCCUUCCUCAAACUCAGGAUAUAAAGAUUUUCUAUCCUGAGUUUGUGUCUGAAUUCAAUAAAUUGAGUCAAGGAAACUGUUGUUGUGAAUACAUCUGCAAGUUGAUCUGGUGAUGGGACAUUGCAAACCUCUACCUUCUUUCGAAUGAACUUUUCACGUACAAAAUAGAGAUCAAGCUCUAUGUGCUUUGUUCUUGCAUGAAAAAUAGGAUUUGCAGAAAGCAAAACUGUGCUAAGGUUAUCACACCAAACCAAAGGAGGCUUAGCUAGUGGAAGUUGCAACUCACUCAACAAUGACCUUAACCAUGUGAUUUCAGCUACCAAACUUGCAAGACUUCAAUAUUCAACUUUAGUACUAGACCUUGAAACAGUAUGUUGCUUCUUGGAUUGCCAAGAUAUCAAAUUUGGUCCAAAAAAUACACAAUGGUUUGAGGUCGACUGUCUAUCAUCCAAAUUUGAGGCCUAGUUAGCAUCACAAAAUCCAACUAAAUCAAGGUUGGAUGAUUUCUUCAAAUGCAAACCAUGUUGCAAAGUGCCCUGUAAAUAUCUCAAGAUUCGUUUCAUAGCCUUCCAAUGCUCUUCUAUAGGAUUCUACAUAAACUGACAUACUUUAUUCACAUUGAAGGAGAGCUCAGGCCUUGUGAUGGUCACAUAUUGAAGAGCCCCUAUUGUACUCCGAUAACCAUGUAAAUCUUCCACAGGAUCACCAUCUUCAGGUUUCAAUUUUAGACCAUUGGGUAGGAGAGUUCUUGUAGGUUUGCAAUGCACCAUUUUUGUAUUUUGGAGCAAGUCUCGAAUAUAUUUAGUUUGGGAUAAAUGUAAUCCAUUAUUGGUAUGAGAAACCUGUAUUCCUAGGAAAUAAUGCAUUUCCCCGAGGUCUUUCAAGGAAAAUUUUGAGUUCAAUUGAGCUAUUAGGGAAGUAAUUGUAGUUGUGUCACUACCAGUGACCAAAAUGUCAUCAACAUAGACAAAGACAUAUGUAAUAUGACUAGCAGUGAACCUUAAGAAUAGUGAUUGAUCAGACUUGAUUGAUACAAACCCAAAACUCAGCAAUACUUGAUGGAGUUUCUCAAACUAGGCUCGUGAGGCUUAUUUCAAGCCAUACAAGGCCUUAUGAAGUCUACAAACCAAAUUAGGAUUUUUCUCAUCAAUAAACCCCUGUGGUUGUUGCAUGAACAGUUCCUCUUGUAAAUAUCCAUUGAGGAACGCAUUAUUUACAUCCAGUUUCUUGAUUGCCCAAUUCUUUGAGAGAGCAAUGGUAAAGACAACUCUUAUUGUAGAAGGCUAAACGAAUGGACUAAAGGUCUCAGUAAAAUCAAAGCCAACUUGUUGGUGAAAGCCUUUGGCGACCAAUCGUGCUUUAUACUUUUGAACAAUGCCAUAUAGAUUUUCUUUAGUUUUGUAAACCCAUUUGCAACCUAUAGCCUGUCUAUCAGCGGGUAAAGGAACCAGUGACCAAGUGUUGUUCCUUUGUAAUGCAUCAUACUCAACCACCAUAGCCUUUUUCCACUCAUCUUGUUGAAGGGCAACUGCAAGUGUCGUUCCUUUGUAAUGCAUCAUACUCAGCCACCAUAGUCUUUUUCCACUCAUCUUGUUGAAAGGCAGCUGCAACACUCAAAGGUUCUCUUAUUGCAGCAAUAAAAAUUUUGGGUUUAACAAUUCCACUAUUUGCUCUAGUAAUCAUCGGAUAAGUAUUAUCAGUAUCCUUGGCAAUUCUCCUAGUCACACUUGUAUCUACAACGGAAGAGACAACAUGUUGUACAGGAGUAACGACUGGAUUAGAAACAACUUGCUAAGGAGAAACAACAAAACUAGGAAUUUAUGUAGGUGCUGGAGUAGUAUCAACACUAUUAGGUGCAUGUGGGUGAGUGGAAACAACAUUAUCCAUUUCACUUAUUGGCCUAGCUGAAGAAAUGGGAGAAGUAAGAGUUGUCAGCAUUGUUGGAGACAAUAUUGGAGGAGAGACUGAAGGAGAAAAAUGAGAAGUAGAGGGGGAAACAGUAGAAGGUAAACAAGAUGAAACUUGAAUAGUUUUAGAAUAAGGAAAGGAGGUUUCAUUAAAAAUGACAUCAUGACUAAUAUAGACUCGACCAUUAAAAGACAUACAUUUGUAACCCUUGUGAUAUAGACUAUAGCUAAGAAAAAUGCAUUCUUUACUCCUAUAAUGAAGUUUAUGGGUGUUAUAGCGUCAAUUGGGAAAAUAGGAGCAACCAAAUACUUUGAGGAAAGAAUAGUCAGGUAUGGACUUGAACAAGACUUCAAUGGGACAUUUGUGAUGAAGUAUUGCAAUGAAAAGCCUAUUUGAUAGGUAAACAAUAGUCCUAAAUGAUUCACCCCAAAAUUUAAGAGGAAGAGAAACUGUAUGAAGGAGGGUUAAACCAUGUUCAACUAUAGUCCUAUCAUUCCGUUCAGCAACACCAUUUUGUUGUUGAGUGUGUGGACAAGAAACACGAUGUACGACAUAUUUUCAACAAGAUAAGAUUGAAAGGCACGAAAUUCACCUUCCCAGUCUAUUUGCAAGGACUUGAUUUUUGAAUCAAAUUGCAAUUCCAAUUGAGUUUUGAAGUUAACAAAGGUUUUGAUAGAUUCAGAUUUAUUUCUGAGUAAAAAUAUCCAAGAAAAUCGUGAAAAAGCAUCCAAAAAGUGAAUAUAAUACCUAUAUCCACUAUUAGAUAAUACCGAGGGUGGACCCCAUAAAUCUGAAUGAAUUAACUCAAGAGGUUUGGUAUAAGUUGUAUGAGACAAAGAAAAAGGAAACCUAUGUAUUUUGCCCAAGGAACAAGAAGAGCAGAAGUUGGAGUCCAUUUUAUUUAUAUGGGAAACAUUACAUUUGGAUAAAGCAUUUUUAAUUGUUGCAGUCGAAGGAUGACCCAAUCUUCUAUGCCACAAAUCAAAGGUAGAUGACAAAGAUGUUGUACAAACUUUAGAAGAAAAUGAACUAGCAACAACAGAAGGAGACUUCGAUAAGCUUUGAGUUGGUUUGAGAGCAAGAUGUGAGGAGUUAAAAGCAUAUAAUCCAUCUCUAACCUUCCCAACCAUUAGAACAACUUGGGUUACCUGAUCCUUGACAAAAUAGGAAUCAGAAUGAAAUUCAAAAAAUAUUUUAUUAUCCUUUGCAAAUUUGGAAAUUGAUAAGAGAUUUUUGGUAAUGGAAGGUACAUGAAGUAAGUGAUUAAGUAAAAGAGGUUUAGAUGAAAAAGGAGAUAAGAAUUCAGAUUGACCAAUCUGCUUAAUGGACAAACCUAUUCCAUUCCCAACAUGAACCUGAUUUUGCCUAGCAAACUCAACACUUUUCAUCAGAUUUGCAGGAUUAGGUGUCACAUGGUUUGGAGCUCUAGAGUUCAAAUACCAAUUGUCAUCACCAAAGACUUUAGGAGUUGGGAUAACACCAUUUACUUGGGGUGAAAAGCUGUAAUAAGCCCGAGGAGAAGGGUUCAUGACUGACAGAUUCUGUGGUACCUGGAAAGUAUGGUCAAACCUGUAAUUGCACUGUGCUACUACAUGACCUAUUUUAUCACAUAGUUGGCAUAAUGGUUUCUUAUUCUGAUUGUCAGAGUUCCAAGGAGGUUUUGCUUGAAAACCACCUAUGUUUCCUCUACCACGAAAACCACCUCUAUUACUUUUUCCAUUGUCAUUCCAAUUGAAUCCACUACCACCAUUGAAGCCACCUCUACGACCAAAGUCUCCACCUCAUCCAAAACCACCAUUGUAACCUGAAUGAUUACCUUGAGAGUUAGCAGCAUAAUAAUUCUACUUAAAACGAUUCUCUUUUUCUACAACUUUAGAGCUUGCAACAUGAGUAGAAGGAUAGGAGUCAAGAGAACUGUUGUUCUUCUCAACUCUAGAUUCAUGAGCCAUCAAGAGAGCUUCAAUUUCUUCAACUGAAAAAUCAUCAUUCCUCAAAGUGACUGAGGUAACGAAGAUUCAUAAUCACUGGGUAAACCAUCAAGAAUUGAGUCAACAUGAUCUUUGGUUGACAAAGAAACACCAACAUACGCAAAUGAAUCAACACAAACCUUGAUCUUCACAAGGUAUUCAUCAAUUUUGAACCUUUUUUCUUGGUAUGUUGAAGUUGAGUCUUGAACUGUUUCGCCUUGGCUUGAGUCUAAGACACAAAAUAUUGCUCUAAUCGUCCCCAAAGAAGAAAUGAUGUAUCAUAACCAACUAACUGAGGAAGAAUCGACUUAGAAACAGAUGAGAGAAGCCAAGAGAGUAGUAGUUGAUCCUGUUGUUCCCACUCGAGGAAUUCCUUAGUUGCUUUUCCAAAUCUCGCAUCUUCUCUGGUGAGAAAUUGAACUGGUACUUCAUCGUCACUGAACACAAAUUUCUGUAGCCCAUAGCCUUGAAUCACAAAGAAGAUUUGUUGUUUCUAGAUCAAGAAAUUCUUGUUGUCAAACUUCACGGACAGUGAGUGAUUGAAGUUAAUUGGAACAAAAUGAGUGGAAGACAAAAGAUUAGGGUUUGCUAUUGCAGGACUGAUAUUGACCUCUAUUGAAGAAGAAUCAUGCUCUGAUACCAUGAUAGAAUUCUAAGAAUGAAUAUUCUAGAGAGAAGAUAGAGGAAAAGGUUAUUUUAGAAGACUUUCAAAAAAGUGUCUCCUCUUCAUAAAAAAGUAGACUCUCUCUAUUUCCUCUAUAUAUUUCUACAACUUAAGUAUUGUUACAAUUUGUUAAGCAUGAGUUGUCAAGACUAAUUCUUAACUAAUCCUAACUAAUCUUCUCUAAUAGUGGGAAACAAGGUCACAUAGCCUUCAACUAUUAGCAUCGUUUAGAUGAAAGUUUUCAGCCUUCAGUGUUGCCAACUCAAAACACCUAUAACAGGACUCCACCUGUUGUUCUCAUGGCUAUACCAGAAACUAUUCUUAACCCUAGCUGGUAUGUUUUUAGUGGUGCGACAAAUCACAUGACUACUACACUUGAUAAGACCACCAUGAAAAUAGAAUAUGGAGGCCAAUAGAAGCUUAUAGUUGGAAAUGGUAAGCAACUUUCCAUUUCUCACAUAGGCCAAGCUUAUCUCCCAACACAUUUUCCUAUUCUUCUUCAUCUUGAAAAUGCCUUGCAUGUUCCCCAAAUUACCAAAAAUCUAGUUAGCAUUUCCCAACUUAUAGCUGAUAAUAGAGUUUUUGUGGAAUUUCAUGCAAAUUAUUAUCUUGUGAAGGACAAAACUAUGGGAACAGUUCUACUUCAAGGGAAGCUUAGAUAUUGUCUUUACUUGUUGCAUUAUCCCCAAACAACAACCAACUCUCAAUCAAAACUCAUCAAACCAAUGUCAAAACUUGUUAAUUUGUGCAAGUCUACUACAUCCCUUGUUUGUGUCAAGCAUAAUUGUACCUCAAUUGGUUUCUCUGUUUCUACAUCUUCUUUAAAUGUCAAUAUAUGACAUCAAUGACUUGGUCACCCCUCUGUUAAGGUGCUUAGACAAGUCUUAAAUUUGUGUAAUCCUUUACUGAAUAAAGGUCUUGAAUUUUGUAGUGCUUGUCAAUAUGGGAAAAGUCAUGUACUUCCCUUCUCUAUCUCUGAAACCAAAACUACCUCACCUUUAGAAGUCAUACACUCUGAUAUUUGGGGAGCAACACCAAUUCCUGGAAGUACUGGGUAUAGAUAUUAUAUUCAUUUUAUCAAUGAUUAUACUUGUUUCACAUGGAUAUACCCUCUCAAACACAAAUUUGAAGCUAUUGUUGCCUUUAAACAAUUCAAACUUCUUGUCGAAAAAGCAUUAAACAAGUCCAUAUUAUGUGUUCAAACUAAUUGGGGAGGUGAAUUUUGCCCAUUUGAUGUCUUUCUUUCACAAAAUGGGAUUCAGUUUCUCCAUCCAUGUCCUCAUAUCCAUCAACAAAACGGUUGAGCUGAAAGAAAACAUCAUCACAUUGUUGAACUUGGGCUAACUUUGUUACCUCAAGCUGACAUGCCCUUAUUUUUUUGGUAGGAGGCUUUCCAUACUACAGUUUUCUUGAUUAAUCACCUUCCCAUUCCAGUUCUUUCCGACAUUUCUCAUUUCCAAAAGCUAUUUGGUUGUUUGCCGGAUUACUCAUUUCUUCAUAAUUUUGGCUACUCGUGUUACCCACAUCUAAGGCCUUACAAUACACAUAAGCUGCAAUUUCAUUCUUGUAAAUGUCUUUUUCUCGGAUAUAGUUCAGCUCAUAAGGGAUAUCUGUGUCUUCAUCCUUCUAGUCAAGUAUUCAUUUCAUGAAAUGUAAUCUUUAAUGAGUCAGAGUUUCCUUAUACGGAGUUAUUUUCAUCUCUAAGAAAUGAUUCCUCUUCCCAAACCACACACAUGCUUCCAAGUUUAUCUUCAACUGUGCGUAUAAGUACAACAAUUUUAGUUAUUAAUAUGCAUCAACCACCCAUUAUGGCUAGUCUCGAGGCAAUCAAAGCCAAAAAUCAUUCACAGCCGCAUGACCAAUUAGAAGAGCAUGUGAUACAUUUUGGUUCAACCACAACUACAUUUCCACAAUCUAAGCAACCUUUCCAGCCUAUUAUCAUUCAACCCUGCCAACAACCAGUCCUUACGUUUGAACCAAAUCCUUCCACUCAUCCCAUGGUGACACGAAGCAAAGCUAGAAUAUACAAGCCUAAGUUAUUUAAUGUCCUCAAGCAUCCACUAAUUGUAUUUUUUGCUCCUGCUCAGCCUCUCUCAAUUAAACAAGCCCUUAGUGAUCCCAAUUGGAAGAAAGCCAUGGAUGCAGAAUUUCAAGCUCUUAAGAAUAAUGAUACUUGGGAUUUAGUUCCAUAUCAGUCCAAGUAUAAUGUUGUUGGGAAUAAAUGGGUCUUCAAGCUAAAAUACAAUUAUGAUGGUUCACUAAACAAGUAUAAAGCCCGCUUGGUAGCAAGAGGAUUCAUCAAACUCCUGGAGUGGAUUUCUCUGAGACCCACAAUCCAGUUAUUAAACCUUCUACCAUUCGGGUAGUUCUGGCUUUGGCUGUGCAACAAGGAUGGGAUAUUCGUCAAUUAGAAGUAAACAAUGCCUUCAAAAAUGGACAUUUACAAGAGGAUGUGUAUAUGAGUCAACCUACAGGAUUUGUUGAUUCUACAAAGCCUCACUUUGUAUGCAAGUUAAGGAAAGCGUUUUAUGGGAUGAAGCAGGAGUUGAGGGCUUGGUUUGAUAGACUCAAGCAAACACUCUUAGAUUAGGGUUUUACUAGCUCACGAUUUGAUGUAUCUUUGUUUAUGUAUAAAUCAUGAGAUACCUUGCUGAUUUUACUAGUUUACGUUGAUGACAACAUGUUUACUGGUAACAAUUUUGCAGCUGUAUCAAAAUUAGUAAGUGACUUGAAUUGCAACUUUGUUCUUAAAGACCUUGGCUCCUUACAUUUCUUCCUUGGAGUAGAAGCUUUUCGAGAUACUACUGAGUUGUAUCUAACUCAAACCAAAUACGUUGUUGACUUGCUAAAACGAACAAAGAUGGAUGAAGCUAAACCUCUAACAUUCCCUGCUACCUUAGGAAAAAUCUUAUCAAAGAGAGAUGGUGAUCUUAUGGUAGAACCUGUACUUUAUAGAAAUAUUAUUGGGGCAUUACAAUAUGUCACAAUGACACGUCCAGAUAUCUCAUAUAUGGUCAGUAAGUUGAGUCAAUUCUUACAAAAUCCUAUUGAUGUUCACUGGAAAGCUUGUAAAAGAGUACUUUGUUACUUGAAAGGGACCAUUACUCAUGGCCUUCACUUCAAGUCUAGCAAACAGUUGGACCUUGUAGGCUUCUCUAAUGCUGAUUGGGCAAGCUGUCCAAAUGACAGACGAUCCACUAGUGGCUAUUGUGUAUUUUUUUGGAGGAAAUCUUGUAUCUUGGAGUUCUAAGAAACAAAGUGUGGUAGCACGAUCAAUUACUAAGUCAGAAUAUUGUGCAUUGGCUUUUGUUGUUGUAGAGUUUGUUAACCUAACUUUCAUAAACUUUAUGCGGAAAUAAUUAUUUUUGAAAACAAUUUUGGAUACAUAAAACAAAUAAAUGGAAGUACUAAAAUAAUGAUCAUAUUCUUACCUUGAUCCAUGAAGUAAGAUUGAGUCACCUUGUGAAUUAUAUUGUCAAGGUCUUCAACUCACUACUCUCAUAUAGUAGAUGGGUCACUUGUGUGGUGUAUGUUGUUAAAAAAUAAAUAACAAGAAAAAAAAAGACAUAAGAAUGAGAGUGUGGCUUGGAACUCAAUUUAUAAUAAGUUGUACAUCUCUUAGUCUUCCCAUCAAAGACUAUAUGGGAGUUAUACUCAUUAUUUACACCCAUUAUGUACAAAUUAAUGGGUAAUGGUGGGUUAUGAACUUGAAUGCAUCCAUAUAAUUGCAUAGGUUAUACCUUUCCAUUUUCCUCCAUUACUCAUAAACAUAAUGUACAAAUAAAUUUCAUAAAGAUGGGGUUACAAAAAUUGUAACACCACAUUCAUAUGAGUUAAAUUUUCUAACUCCCCAUUUGUAAUUUGAGUCUUCCAUACAUAAGACUCUUGGAUGCCCAAUCAAUUGAUUCACCUACUUAUCAAUUGAUACCCUUAAAUAAUAUUCAUAUAAAUAUAAUUAUAUAUGACCACACAUUAUAGGAAAAAAAGCUAACAGAGUUAACUUGGAUGCAUUCUUUACAAAGAUAAUUGGGAGUUGAACUCAAAUUCUCACCGGUAAUUUGGUAUGACAAUCAAGGAGCAGCUUCACUAGCAGCCAAUCAUGUAUACCAUUCUCGAACAAAGCAUAUUGAGAUUGACGUGCAUUUUGUGCGAGACAAGGUUUUGCAAAAGACAUUAGAAAUCCGCUUUGUUCCUUCAAUAGACCAAGUUGCUGAUGUCUUCACCAAACCUUUGUCAACAGCUAGAUUUUUACAGUUGAAGAACAAACUCAAAGUGGAUGAAUCCCCUUUUUGUUUGAGGGGGGCAUGUGAAGACAGAAAUGGCAGCUGCCACAUCAUGCCUCUCUUAACCAAGUUUGUUAUAACUUGUGACAGAUUUGGUUAGACUAGAAAAUCUCUAGAACCUCCUGGAACUGCUGUUCCCUUCUCUGUGUAUUCUCUCUGCACUCAUUUUAAAAGCACCUGUAAGAAACAGAAAACAGAGACGAGAGAGCUGUGUAAUUUUCUGGAUUCUUUCAAUAGAUUUUCUUCAUCUCCAAACACAAACCUCACUCUCACCAACGGAUUUAAACAAAGGAAGGUAGUAGGCUAUUUUGACACUUGUGACCAGGAUAUCGUCUAUUAGAGUUUUGUUAUAUGAGCCUUCUUUGUGUUUGCACCGAGACUGAAUAAAUAAGAUAAUAAAGGAUCAACAAGGUUUCAUACCCAUGACAUCCCUUCAAAACAACACCCAAACAAUAUUAAGCUUAAAAAAUUAGGUAACAUUUGACCAAUAAUAUCUAUUAAAUUUAUAUGACUGCAAACCUAACAUUUCAAUGCCAAAAAAUUUUCCCAGGCUUGUAGAUUAUGAAGGAAGAUAAGGUGUUGGAUCUGAUGGACCAGACACAAACUCAAACAUGUGAAACUAAUGAAUUUUUGAGGCGUGUUAAUGUUGGGCUCUUGUGUGUACAAGAAGACCGGAGUGAUCAUCCAACCAUGUCCAAUGUAUUUCUCAUUCUCCAAAGUAAAAAAACCACACUUUCAGUACCCACCAGCCUUUGUUGUGAGAAGAGGCCCUUCUAGCAUGGCUUCUUCCUCUUCCGGCAAUCCAAAAACAUGCUCUACCAAUGAGAUCAUAGUCAGCUUAGAAGAAGGUAGAUAGCUGGGUAUGUAAUGAUUAAUGUUUUUGCUGCAUCAUGGUUGGAUGCUGAGUGAGGUUUGCCAUCUUCGUAUGUCAAACCUAAGGACCACUCUUUGCCUUCAAAGAAAAGAGAAAAUAGUGGACAAAAAUGAUAAAGAGUUUUGCAUGAACAGAGAGUAUAUGUUUUGAAUAAAAACUUAUUAUUGCUUAAUACAUCCUAAUACCUAUCUGCAAUUGAAUUUUCUUUAUUAUAACAGGUUUGUUUAAUAUUCUACGUAAAAUACGCGAUUAAUUCAUUAUUAAAUUUGGGCCAAAGAAGGAUGAAAUUGGAAAACUGAAGGUUGAGCUCUCCUCUUCUUGUAUAUUGUCAAACAAAAAAUUCAUUGAGUUGUAUUUGUAUCCAUGCCUUCUUGUGGUGCAUGCAGCAGCAGGUAUGUGGCCUCAUUGCAUCCAAUAUUGUAAAGAAGAAUAUCAGUCAAUGAUCAUUUGACAUACAUUAUGCCUAGGAUCAUGGACCUAAUUCCUUGAUGGUAGAGCUUCCAUUAUCACUCCUCUAAUUUGACUCUAAUAGUUAGUAUAAAAUUGUUUACAUGUUAAUCAGACAAUCAAAUUCUUAUUCUAGUCAAUGCUUCAUUGCUUCUUUUAUUUUUAGUCUUAACAAAUAUAACCGGCCAGGCACUUACUAGACAUGGCCACGGGUGCCUCAUUAAUUUAAUUUGGAAGGUUUUUACGAUAUUUUGGAUCAUACCUGAUUAGAAUCUAUUGUAAGUUGCUUUCAGCCAUUCUUCCGAAUGACAGGUAAAUUGCCUCAUUCUAUAUAUCUUUGACAAAAAAUGCAUUCUUAUUUUAUUAUAUGGUAUAGGACACGUCCCACACAGCUUAACAGAUUGACUGGCAAAGCAUGAUAUCCAACAUGAAAAAUAUAUUUAUUUCUCUGAAAUAGUAUUAAAACCCAUGCAUUCUUGAUCAAGCCCUGGUGAUGCCUCCUAGCCAAUUUUAGGCGCCAUACUCACGAUGCCAUAGCUAUCAACCCAUACACGAACCCUGUCACAACGGAAAUCAGUGGUCACCAGUGUUCCUUCUUUCACAACGCCUGCCUUCACAUUCAGAUUCUCCCUCUCAAUAAUUGCUGCUGCUGCCUCUCCAUGUACGCCCACCAGCUCUGGCCAUGAACUCUUGCCUAGUUUAAUUUACCAUGAAAACACAUACAUAAACAUGGAACAGUUUAUUAUCUCCUGCAUAAUACAUAAUGUUUAUAUAAACCAAUAUGUACAAAAUCUUACCAUCAGGGCAAGUUGUCAUCUUGUCUUACAGUUCUGAUCUUCUUCUGAUGCAAAGUGUUUGUGGGAGGAAAUAGGGUAUUUAUAGGGGAGAGUGAGUCGGGGUGGGAAGCAAAGGUCUGAAUAAAUUUAGCCGGCCAGGGUCUUUGAAAAUUGAUGUAUUGACUUGGCUUGAGAUCUCUAAAUGCUUUUAAUAAGACGGGCAAUGGUGGAUUUGCCAUUUGAAAGCUUACUCUGAACGAAUAUUCUUUUCUAGAGUAUUCCUCCAAGGAAGACAAGACAGGCAGAUACUCCAUUUUUAUUUCAGUUGUAUAAACAAAACUUAUUCGAGUAGUGGGAGAACACAGUUAAAUAGUCAAAAAGAUAACCCAACAGAAGUGCUACCCAAAAAAGGAUUGCUUGGAGCCAAAAAUUGUCACAAGAACGAUGGGACGAAUGAAAAUUAGGAACCUUUACAGCAACCAUCCUAUUUGGAAUGUUUUUAAUAUGUUUUGUAUAUUUCUAAAUAAUUUUUUUUUAAAAAAAAAACUUUUAAUAUGUAGUCAUGUAUUGAUUUUCAAUUAUUUUUUUUAUAAUUAUAUUUUAAAAUAAUUUUAAAAAACGAGUAAAAAUAAUUGAAAACAAGUCAAAUAUGUUCUCAAAAAAUACUACAUUUUCAAAUUAAACCGUUCUCAAACAUAGCCUUGAAUCUUGUAAGAGGUGCAAGAGCAUUUGGAAUUCUUAAGCAUGUAGACAAAGGAAACAGCUUUGCAGGUAUGGUCAAGAAUCAGAGAGUUGCAUGUUCCUGGUGUGGUUUUCAAGCCUUAUUUCAAUACUAUGUAACGUCAGAACAAGCACUCUAUAUGAUCUAUCCACAUUAAAAGACAUAACUACAAUGAAUAAUAUCACAAUUUCUUUAUAAUAUAUUUAGAGGCCUAACUUCUCAUAAAGGACCUGUACAUGAAUAAAAAUUAUUAAGAUGUGUUUAGAAACGUUAAUUUUUGAAAACAAAUUUUAAGAAUGGUUUUCAAAUAUGGUACUAUGAUGUUUUUAAGAACAAAAAGAUGUUUGGAAUUUUAAAUAUUUUAAAUUUUUUAAAGUACCAUUCAUUUGUAUUAUUUUACUUUCAAUCAUUUUUCAUGUUGAUAUAAUUAUAUUUUAAAAUAGUCCUUAAAAAAAUUAAAAAUAACUAAAAACUAAAAUAUAUUUUAAAAAGAUAGUUAAAACAAGUUUUCAAGCCACCUUUCUCUAUCAAAAAAUUAUCAAUUGAAAACAGUUUUUAGUUUGUUUUAAAAUUAUUAAUUAUUAUUAUUAUUAUUAUUUAAAAAAAACGGUUUUCAAACACACUCUUAAUUUUUAUCACAAUGUUUUGAUAAGAAAAAAAGAAUGAAAACUCCUCUAAUCUAAUAAAUAUAUAUAUGAAGUAGUUGAACUCUUAUCAACCCAAUAUGUUAAUCAUGAGAAGGAAAACAUUGAAUCAAGACCUUGAAUGUUGAAGUUCUCAGUAGAAACAAGAACUUUCUUGGACAAAGGCUGCAUGGUAGGAAAAAAAAUUGUCUUAUCGCUAGAAAAAAGGUACUGUUAUUUUAAUGGACCAUGGACAAGAGAAAACAGGCACAAUAGUACGUUGUGAAAUAUGUAAGAAAAUUCUUUGAGAAGGGAUGGAUGGAAAUCUUGAGUGUUAAUGUAUCAUGAAAGAUAAAUGAAUUAAUUUGAGUUACAUUAGUGUGACAUUGAUAGGAUGUAUUGAUGGUGCUUCUGACACAGUCGACUUAAUAUUUCAAUUCAUCCAAUCCACUCAAAUUACAAGCAAGGAGGAUUUAUAAACUCCUUUUAAAUGGGUACUUUAAUAAACAAAAAUUAGUUAUUGAUACAACCCUCGUGACUAUGUCUUCGUGGUCAUCUAAAUGUGAAACCCUAUUGCAGACAAAUAUUAUCAGUAACCAUAUAUCCUUCUAAUAUGAUUUCGACAGUGACAAAUGAUUUCUCCCUGUCAACUCUUGCAUUGGUGAUCUCCCCUUGCAUUAGCAUAGCUCAAAGAAUUGAAAAAAAAAAAGAAAAAAAAAAUAGAAAGGAAAUCUUAAAUUUGUUCUAUUUGAUUUGUAAUUAAAAGGUUAAAAAUAAAAUAAAAAUAAUUAUUCCACUCCAAUUUAUAUCUUGAUCACUUACUGUGUGAUAAAUUGUUGCAAGUUAUAAUUCAGCAAGAGCCACCAACACAGACAAUAUAUAUGGUUAUUAUAAUAGAUGGGUUCACUGAAUAUUUUCAGAUUUAUAUCCAGGUUUGAAAUUGAGGAUGAAAAACCUAAGCUGAUUUUCAGAAGAUAUAUUAUUAAUGAGAAAGCUUGAUAUACCAGAAAGCAGGAAGAUUCAGAGAGAGGUUUGGUUUUGGUUCCAACCAGCAUUAAUGGAGACCAGUCUUGUUCUGGGCAGGCACCUCACACGACUUCGUUAAUAAUGGAGAACAUAGGCAGAUUAUUGUAGAAAUGAACAGCUUAAACCACAAGAUGUUAAUAAUGGAGAACACCAUAAGACUUUGUUUUUGGAAAUCGAGAAAAAGAAAAACCAGAAAUCACUUGGUCUGCCGGUUUUGGGCAGAUAGAGAAGCUGAAAGAGCUAGAUUCGAGGCAGGUUAACCACGAUUCGGCUUCCAUCUGUAAUUGACUUACCGUACAAUACAUAUCAUGUCACCCUUGAAUCAGGGUCAUUUCUUCUCCUUUUUCUCAAUUUUAUUGGCCUCCAAACAGACUGUUAAGUACACUUUUUUCUUUUUCAUGUGUAGAAGAUUUUCAAUAGGGUUUAGUCUGGCCAGAAUGCUGGAAGUCAUUGCCAAAUUGGUUGAUUAGUUCGGAUUCCUAUGGAGUUACUGAUGUUUCUGUUUUCCUCAUUCAUAUAAUUCGACUCUCUUUAAGUUUUCUGAUUUUCUUACCCUCUGUUGUAUGAAGCCGUAUUUGAAAAUCCCUAGUCAUUCCCUUUAUGCAAUGGGCUCCUCAACUCCUCUUGCAACCUAAGUUGCUUAAUUCAUCCAUCCUUUUUCCUUCAAAUGCAUCUAUCUGUGUUCUGAUCUGUGAUUGUUGCAGUCGUAGAGAAGAUUAGGAAAGAAAGUUGAAGAAAAGAAAAAAAAUAUUGGACUCCUAUUCAACUUUGUUAGCCCACAAUCUUAUUUGUUUUUGGUACUGCAAAUGGAAAAUAUCAUAAAGAAAAGGAAAUUUAUCACACUUCGACUUUAUUGGCCACUCUUAUUUAUUUUUAUUACAGUAAAUGGAGAGUAUAUAUCGCAACUCCUGAUAGAUUGGUGGAGCAUCCUUUCAUAAAGGAGCAGCAUUUACAAUAUAAGAAUAAAUAGUUAAACACCAGCCUUUUACAGUCCUAGCCAACAACCGGGACCCUGGUAACAAUGCCACUCUCGUCCACCCAAAUGCGGACCCUAGUGCAAACUGGGACCAAAUCUGCAGGAACAAUAGUUCCCUCCAACACGAUCUCAACAUCGGUGACAUAAGGAUUCUCCCUUUCAACUGUUGCCUUAGCGACCGCCUUUUGUACUCCGAGGAGCUCAGGCCAUGAAGUCUUACCUACAUAGGCACAGCAAAACUUUGGUAUUAGAAGGAACUAUAUUAACGAAAUUUGAACAACGGUGUAUGUAAUAAACUAUAAAACUAGUUAAUUACCUCUGCAUUCGAACGCCAUCCCUUUUCACUUCACGAAGCAAUAUGUCAGCUUGCUAAUUAGCUUGUGAUCUUUUGUGUUGCUAGACGGCUAUUUAUAGAGUAUGCUUGAUAGAUUGUGGUAGUUCUUUAUUGACUUUCUUGCUGUCAGAUUCAAACAUCAAAGUUCUCACCCCCCCUUUCAGACAGGUGUACGAAUUUUUGGUGUUGUUGAUUAUGGAAGCUUGCUGACAAAUUAUUUCCAUUAAAAAUGGUGAAAAAGGCCAUGUUAGAUACAACUGUCACUAGUUGACCCUUUCCAUAAUAGCUAAAGUUCACAGCCGUAGCCUUCUUCUUUGACCCUUUCCUUGAUGGUGCGUGGCAAACCUUAUCAUCAACGAUGAUUUAGGCUGCAAGUGAAAGGGAGCAAAAGAUAAUAAUGGUAUUUUGGUGACUAGACCCCCAUUUUCUGCUGUUUGUAUAGAUGCAUAAUAUAAAGGGUCAUCUCGUAAAGGAAUCUUCAGAAAAUGUCAACAAAGAAGGCUUGUUGUAACCAAGAGGGUAACCUUCUUGCUAACAAUCGUACAUGUCAUCGGUUGUGCACGUGCUUGGCUAAUUUGCAGUAUGCCAAACGCCUACCUUUAAUGAUUGUUGCUUUCUGGCUCACAACAAUUUCGAGAAUUCAUAAGAGGACUGGAUCAUUUGAUGGUUCUUAUAAUCUAAAAUCCAAAUCACUGAUUAUCCCACAUUAAAUUCCAAUUCAAGGGAACUCAGUUUAUAUAUAUAUAUUGGAUCACAUUUGUUGUAUUAUAUAUAUAACCAUGCAUGCUGAAGUUCUUCCUCCUUUAAUAAGUAUUCACCAUUCAUUUUCAUAAUUUGCUAGCUAGCUAGAUAGAAACAAUUGAAAUUAAGAGUCUGUUUAGUGGUAUGAUUUAAAAAUAGUUUUAUGUUGAAAUUGUUUUAAAUUUUUUUAACAUUGUUUAGUUGUUUUCUAAAAACAGUUUUUAAAAACAAAGUAGAAUAAAGAAUGGUUUUUAGAGAAUAAGUAGAAGGUGUUUUCAUCGGUUUUUAAAAACAAAAGGAAAAUGUAAUUUUUUUUAAAAAUAAUAAUAAAAAAAACAAGUAAAAUAGAAUAUAAUACAUUUCCUUUCUCUUUUCAUGAUCUAUUGACAGCGAAAAUGUUAAAAUAUGAUAUUCUUUUAAAUAACAUGUACUUUUAUAUUUUUUUUAACUUCUUUAAAAUUUUUCAUUAAGCAAAUAAAUUUCAAAUAAAAUUGUACUUGAUUCAUGAAAGUCAUUAAUUGUCAAAAAUAAUUUGAUAUUCUAAAACUAAUUUAAUUAAUUCUAAAAAGUCAAGAAAGUCAAUAACAUUAGUAAAUCAUAAACAAAAAUUUAUUUUAAAUGUCUAGGUUAAUUUCUUCUUUAUAUAUAUAUACAUACAUACAUACAUACAUACAUGUAUAUACAUACUAUUAGAAAAAUUAGGCUAAUGCAACCUAUGGUAAUCACUCUAGAGGGGGAUGAAUAGGGUGAUGGUUCUUUUUUUGCAAAUUUAAACUGUGUGAAUGUUAGAGACAAAUAUAUGUAAGUAUAUAAUAAAAUAAUGUAAAAACAAUUGCAUAUAAAGUAAAGGAGUAGAGAAGAGAGAUUGCAAACACAAGAUUUUUAUAGUGGUUCGGCGCAACCCGACUUACAUCCACUCUCCUCUAGCUUCAAUCCCAAGCUUGAGGUUCCACUAAUUCAAGGCUUCCAAACCAAGUCUUCAAGUAAUACAAUCGGAUUAUGGUUUCAAUCCACCAUCUUGAACUUUUGGCUCCAAGCACCCUUUACACUUUUCAAGAGAUACUCCACUCUUGGACAACCCCUCAAGUGAUACUUCUCACUUAAGAAUCCCUAAGUGAUACCUCACACUUAGAUUCUUCCUCUUAAAGAUAUACAAAUAAUUUCACAAACUCUUAGUAUAAAACUUUAGGCUCAAAUGAUACAAGUAAACUAGGAUUGAAUGGUGCACUAAAGAUAUGCAAGUUUUAGAAUAAUGGUGUACUAAAAAACACUCUUCCAAGGCUUAAAUAUAUUCAAGAAGGGUUUGGAAAGGUUAAGUUCAUUAAUAAUGAAGAUUUAUAGUCUUUUUAUAGAGGAAAAAAACAAAACUAACCGUUGGGGGUUCAACCGGUCGAGCUGGGGGUCGAUCGAUUGACUAGUCGUUAGCAUUUAAUACUUGGCAGGUGACUAUUAGACCUCGACCAAUUGAGGUGUGGGUCGACUGGUUCCUCAUCCGGUUGAACAACCAUUCUGAAAGUUUUUUGCAACCUUCGACCAGUUAAGCUGGCGGUCGACCGGUUACUAUUCACACCCUUGAUCGGUUGAAUUGAGAAUCAACCUACUCCUAAACCGGUUGAGCUGGGGAUCGGCCGGUUCCUCAUCCGAUUGAACCGGUUGAGUCGUUUUUGGUUCAAUAACCAACUUUUUCAACUUAAAACCUUUUAAACAAGUUUGAAAAACAUUUGACACAAGGUUUUAGUUGAAAACAUGAAAUCAUCCAAUUUUAAAAUAUUUAAAAUAAAAUAACUCUUGGAUGAUUUUGGUGUAUAAGUAAAGAAUGUAAUGUAUGAAAAUCCUAGUGCACCAACAACCUUACAAGAAGAUCUUAUAAAGCUUGGGUCUUGAAAAAUACUUCUCUUUGAGGUGGUCUUCUUUUUCAUGAUUUCUCAUUGGCUUGAUUUGUCUUUGUAAUUGUCACUUUGGAAAUCAUCUUGCCUAAUCACACUUGAAAUAUAAUCAUUAGUUCUAAACCUUGUUUUGUUAUUAUCAAAACCGAGAUUAACUAAACCUUAGUUUCACACACACACACGCACAUAUAUAUCUAUGUAUAUAUAUUAGGCAAAUAAACUCAAGCAAGACUUGUGUUGGAUUCAUUAAUGAGUUUAAUAAUUUUUAAAUUAUUAGAACUCAAAAAAUAGAUGUAAUCAUUAAAAAAAAAAUAGAUCAAAAUUUAUAUAUUAUGAGUUAUAACUUUACUAUUUCUCCUAUACAUAUGAAUAUAUAUUUUGAAUUUAGGUAAAUAAAUUAUAAAUUAAGUAAGAUAUAAUUAAUAAUUUAAAUUCUUUAAUGAAUUUUAAAUUUUUUAAUAAUGAUUUUGUAUUCAAACAAAUGAUCUAAUUAAUUGAAGGUUAAAUUAAAACAUUAUAAAAUAUUAUGUUCAUAAUUCAAUACUAAAUGUGUAUAUGAAAUGAAAAACUUGAUUCAUUUACAUGUUAAAAGUUAAACAUUAUUUAUUAUUCAUUUUAGAUACAAUAUUGUUAAAAAUUAUUAAUAAUAAUUUUUAAUCCAAAAUUUACAAAGAUGUUAAUAUCCUUAUGUUUUUAACAAAUACUAAAAUAGUAUAUAUAUUUUUUUUAUAAAAAAAAUAAUUUAUGAUUUUAUUAUAAUAUUAUUAUUUAUAUUUUACUAAAAACUAUUUAUUUUUUAUUUUAUUUGUAAUUGCAAGACUAUUUUCAUUUUUAAUAAGACUUGACUUAAAUUUAAUUUAUAUUUUGAAAAUUGAAUUUGCAAUGUUUUCACAAAACCAAAAAAAAAAAAAUUAAAAACAACUUAUCCAAACAAGUUUUUUGUUUUUUAUUUUUAAAAACAAUUUGCCAAACACCUUUAUUUCUAUAAAACACUACAAAAUUGUUUUUUGUUCUUUAAUUUAAAAACAAUUUUUAAAAAUAAAUUUCGAAAAUCAUGAACAAACAAACCUUAAAUCUUGCUAAAAUCAUUUUAUUUAAUGGAAGUAUGAGCAAAUUUUUGCUACAACUUUUUUUUUUUUUAAAUGAAACAUAGAUCUAAUUAUCUUAAUAUUACUAAUAUGGAUAUAUAACUUUUCUACAAUUUUUUUUAUUAGAUCUAUGUUAGCAAUAUUAAGGGAAAAAUUAUUAUUUUUACUCUUAAUUAAAUUUUUUACUACAACUUUUUAAAAAAGUUUGCAAAAACAUGUUUUUUUUAAAAAAAAAAAAAAAAAAAAAAAAAGAAAUCAAACAUAGAUCUACAACUUUAUUAUGAAAUUUUUUUUACUAUAACAUGGAUUAGAUCUAUGUUAGCGAUAAUAAGGGAAAUUUUUACUACAAUUAUUUUUUAAAAUGAAACAUAAAAAAAAUGUUUUUAAUAAGUUGUCCAGAAAUCAUUUUUAAAUAAUAAAAUUGGCCAAAAAUGAUUUCAAAUAAAAAAAUGUCAAAAAUGAUUUUUAGAUAAAGUUGUCCCAAAAAUGACUUUUAAUACAACCGUCAAAAUUAUUUUUUUAAUAUAAACUAGCCAAAAAUAAUUUCUAAAUAAAAACAGUCAAAAAUGAUUUCUAAAACAAAAAACUAUAAGAAUGCUUUUUAAAAUAAAGCUAUAAUAAAACUAUAAAUGUUGUAAAAUUAUAUAGUGAAAUGAGAAGAAAACAAGAAGGAGAAAUUAGAAUGUAGAAAGAGAAUAUAGUGGAUUUUCAUUAGAGGUAUCUCCCUUUUAUAGAGAGUCACAAAGAGAUAAACAUUAAUAUGGAUGAUCAUCCACAAGUUCCCAUAAUCCGAUAAAUUCUCAUAUUUUCUAACACUCUCCCUUAGAUGACCAUAAGAAUAUGGUAACUGUCUCAUUAAAAACCUUGCUAGUAAAACCUAGUGGGACAAAACCUGGAUGAAGGAAAAAAGAGUGCAAUAUAUCCAUAUUAGCAUUCUCCCUCUAAUGUAAACAUGAUUAUGAUUUCUUCAACAUUUCAAAUAGUAGAUCUCUUAUUCUUCGCAUUCCAAUGUUAUACCUUAACUUUUUCAAUGUGGUCAAAGGUAACGCCUUUGUGAAUAGAUCUGCUAGAUUAUUGCAUGACCAAAUUUGUUGAACAUUAAUCUCACAUUUUUUUUGGAGCUCAUGAGUAUAGAAGAAUUUAUGGGAGAUAUGCUUAGUUCUGUCACCUUUUAUGAAUCCUCCUUUAAUUUGUGCAAUAAAAGCAACAUUAUCUUCAUGUAACAUGGUUGCAUUGCCUCUGAUGGAAGGUAGUCCACAUGUUUUUUGUAUAUGUUAGAUCAUUGACCUUAGCCAUAUACAUUCACGACUUGCUUCACGAACUGCAAGAAUUUCUAAAUGAUUUGAAGAUGUGGCCACCAUUGUUUGCUUGACUGAUCUCCAAGAUAUUGUCAUUCCACCAUAAGUAAAGGCAAAUCCCGUUUGAGAUCGAGCUUUAUGAGGAUCUAAAAGAUACCCUACAUCUGCAUACCCAAUCAAUUGUGAUUUUGAUUCUUUUGAAUAAUAUACACCUAUGUCACUUGUUCCACGAAGGUAUCGCAGUAUAUGUUUAAUCUCAUUCCAAUACCUUUUAGUUGGGGCAGAAUUCUAUCUUGCUAGUAAGUUGACAGAGAAUGCUAUGUUUGGUCUAGUACAAUUUGCAAGAUACAUUAGUGCACCGAUUGCACUGAGAUAUGGUACGUUUGGACCAAACACUUCUUCAUUUUCUUCUUUAGGAUGAAAUGAGUCUUUGUUCACUUCAAGUGAAUGAACAACCAUAAGGGAAUUGACUGGAUGUGAUUUUUCUAUAUAAAAUCGUUUUAAUACUUUCUCUAUAUAUGUCGAUUGAUGGACUAAUAUGUCAUUUGAACAAUGCUCGAUUUGCAGGCUGAGACAAUAUCUUAUUUUCCCCAAGUCUUUCAUUUCAAAUUCCUUCUUUAAAUAAUUGGCUACUUUUGUGAGCUCUUCAAGAGUUCCUAUAAGGUUUAAAUCAUCCACAUACACUGCAAUUAUUAUAAGCCCAAAUUUUGAUUUCUUGAUAAAAACACAUGGGCAAAUUGAAUUAUUCACAUAUUUUUUCUUUUAACAAAUACUCACUCAAACGAUCAUACCACAUACGUUCAAAUUGCUUUAAUCCAUACAAAGAUCUUUGUAGUUUGAUUGAGUACAUGUUUCGAGGUCUUGGAUUAGUUGCUUCAGGCAAUUUGAAUCCUUUAGGGGUUUUCAUAUAUAUGUUAGUAUUUAUAGACCCAUAUAAAUAGGUUGUAAUAACAUCCAUAAGAUGCAUAUCUAGUUCUUCAGAGACUGUUAAACUUAUCAAGUAUCGAAGUGUGAUUGCAUCCAUUACAGGGAAAUAAGUUUUCUCAUAGUCUAUACUAGGUCUUUGAGAGAAACUUUGAGCAACAAGUCGUGCUUUAUAUCUUAUGAUUUCAUCAUUCUCAUUUUGUUUUUUCACAAAGACCCAUUUAUAUCCAACAGGCUUUAUGUUUCCAGAUGUUUGAACUACGGGUCCAAAUACCUCUCGUUUUGUUAACGAGUUUAGCUCUGUUUGGAUUGUUUCUUUCCAUUGUGGCCAAUCAUUCAUUUUUCAACAUUCAUUCACAGUUUGUGGUUCUUGAUAUUCAUCAUUUCUCAUGAUGUCCAUAGCCACUUGGAAUGCAAAUAUAUUAUCUAUGAUAAUGUCGCUACGGUCCUUUGUUUCACCUGUGUGACUCAUUGAGAUCUCUUCCGUUCUAGAUACCGGUAUUUGAUCAAUUUGUGUCUCUUCAGGAGCUAAUUGUUUGUCAAGUUGGGUUUCAUCAUUUGACCAUUUCAUAUUUGUGAACUCUUUAGGAGUACUAAAUUUUUUCAUAUGUUGUUCAUUUUCUUUUUCUAGGAAUUAAAUCAUUUGAGCCAAUAGGUCUACCACGCUUCAGGUGUGUCUUAGAUUCAUUUGCUAUGACAUUCUCCAAUUGUCCUUCAGGGACAUCAAUAUGUGCUGGGGCGUUCACAACUGGCACGUGCGACUUUGUUACUUUCUUUAUAUCUGUGAAAGCAUCAGGUAAUUGAUUUGCAAGUCCUUGCAAAUGAACAAUCCUUUGAACUUCUAACUCACAUUGUCUUGGUAUGAGGAUUAAGAUAAGUCAAAGUUAAUGCAUUCUAAAUAAUUUCAUAUCGUUAUUCAGGAACUGGUUCUUUUCCCCUUAAUGGUGAGAAAAUUGUCUUAUUAAAAUGAUAAUAUGCACAACAUGUCAUUCUACUUUUUAAAUGUAUAAGUAGACUAGUCACUAAAUAAAAACUUCUGGUUUUAUAAUGUACAUCCAUACGACCUUUUACCCCGAGGGACCAAGUUGGUCUUAAAAGAUUCUUCUGGAUCUAUUAUCCUAUAAAGUGUCAUUCACAUGGAAUCAAAUACUACUAGUGACAUAGUAUAAGCUCUUCUAGAGCCUUUAAUCAAGUUUCUAUCACCUGAUAUAAUAUUAACAUUGUUUGUCAUCAAUGUUGUGCAAUUAAUGAGACAAGAGUUUUAUCAAAAUAACAAGUCAUAAAAUAUUGUCAUAAAGACCUUGUCUUUAUAGAGUUGAAGAAAUAUUAUCAUAGAGAAAGAUUAAAAUCAAUGGAAAAAUAUUAGUCAUUGAUAAUGACUUAACUUAAUAACUUGUGUAAAAGCAAUGAGAGCAUAUAUAACACAAUAAAACAAAUAUGAAAAGAUAAUUUAAAGUUAUAUAUUUCUCAAAUAAUCUCACACAUUUGAUUUUGUAGGUGUGAAACAAUUUAUACAUGAAAUAACGAGGAAGUAUUUCAAUAAUCAAACUAAUUGUAGUGAUAGAUCAAUAAUUUUAUUCAAAAUAUUAUUAUGACCUAAAUCAAUGUGCAAAAAUUAAUUCAUAAAUCAAAAUUUCAAGAGAACAUAUUAUGAUUUAAAGCAUCUUGUUGUUUCAAAACUUUAAUUGAAAUACUACAAUCCCAUUUGAACAUAUAUGUAAAGAUAUAACAUUAUAUAUUGAGAACAAUAGUUGAACCUAUUGUAAUUUCAAAAUUAUUUUUGGAUAAUGAAAUUAUUGCAUUAAUAAAAAUACCAUAUGUGACAACAUGCAAUAAUAUAUUAUUUUAUAUAACUCAAAAAAAUUUCAAUCAUAAAAACAUAUCUUAAAGAAAGUUGACAUGCAAAAUCAAUUUAUUAAUCAUAUGACCAAGUCAUAUAUUUCAGAUUUAUCCAAAGAAUCUCAAUUUUCUAAAUCAGAAGAUUAUUGUGUAUUAAACAACUAGAAUAAAAAAAUAUUCCAGACUAUCACCUCUGAUACAAAAAUAUCAUACUUUCAUGCAAUUCAAAAUUCCACAUUUAUAUGUAAAAAAAAAAUCUACUAAUAAUGGUACAACAUAUAAUAAUAGGAGUUUAUAAAAACUGUCAAACACUUACCUAUUUGUAUGAUUUGAUAUACAUAAUAUUAAUCUUUUGAUAAUAUGUAAAUAUUAUCUAUAUUCUUAUUAUUAUAGUUUCAAGCUAUAAUAUAUUCCAUUAUAACUUUUGGUUAUAUAAAUUUCAUAAAGUUGUACAAAAUUAUUAGUUAAUAAUUUUGUUCUUUAUAGCUUCUAGCUAUAAGAAAGUACAUAUUAACAACUUUGGCACAACCUUUAAUUAGCACAAAAAAUAUUAAUUUUCUUAUUUUCAUAACUUCGGGUUAUAUAUAAUAAUAUUUAUAUAACUUCUAGUUAUAUAACAAAAUUUUAAAAAAUAUGUAUCUUCUAGGUACAUAGUUUGUUCAUUGACAAUUUUGUUUUGUAUAACUUUUUGUUAUACAAGAUAAUUAGAAAUUGUAUGAAUAGCUUCUGAUUAUGAAACAAUUGUUAAUAAAAUUGUUUUUCCAUAAUUCUUGUUGUGAAAAAUAAGUGAGUACGAAAUAAAAAUUAAAAGCCAAUAUUUUUCAUAACUUUGAGUUAUGAUUAUUUUGUCAAAACAAGAAAAUAUUCAAAUUUGUACAUAGCUUCAGGGUAUGAACUAUUUAUGUAUAACUUCUAGUUACACAAUAUAAUUAAAAGAAAUUAAAAAAAAAUAAAAGUUAAUAUUUUUCAUAGCUUGAGGCCAUGAUUAUUUUGUAAGAAUAAGAAAUAUUUAAAUUUGUACAUAGCUUCAGAUUAUGAACUGUUUUUAUAUAAAUUUGUGCACAACUUUAAGCUAUGAACUAUUCAUUGUGUAGAUUUGUGCAUAACUUCAAGCUAUAAACUUUCAUUAUGUAAAUUUGUACAUAGCUUCAGGCUAUGAACAUUUAUUUAUUUAUUUAUUUUAUAGCUUCUGACUAUAUAAUAUUGUUUGAUAUAACAUCCAAUUAUACCGUAUAAUUAAAAUAAAUAAUUAGGGAUCAUAUACAUAACUUUUGGUCAUGUUUCUGUAAUUCUGUAAUUUUUCCCCAUAACUUCUAGUUAUAGGAAUUGCACAUAUUUUUCAUAACUUUUAGUUAUGAAUUUAACCCAUAAUUUAUAAUUUACCCCAUAACUUCUGGUUAUAGGGAUUAUACAUAUUUAUGUAUUUAAAUAAAAUAAAUGAAAAUAUAGAUCAAAGGGUAAUAAAAUAAAAAAUCAUAAUAUAAGUUUAUCACAUACCUUUUUGUGAGAGAGAAGAGAGAAUAAUAUUUCUAUUUCUCUUAAUAGAGAAAAAUCUU